This 62723-nucleotide long non-coding RNA is filed under the name Vitis vinifera (wine grape). RNAcentral's name for it is "long non-coding RNA (VVIN_LNC001332)". Lineage: Eukaryota; Viridiplantae; Streptophyta; Magnoliopsida; Vitales; Vitaceae. The record is from RNAcentral.
GUGGAGUGAAACUUGAGUCCUAAGCAUUUGAAUUCUUCACCUGGCUUUUCAAAUCAUAGACAUGAAUAAAUAAUAUCAUGAAAGUGAAUGAUCUUCAAUUAUUGCGUCAAAUACAUUACACAUGGAUUUAAAAAAGUUGAUUUGAUGUUCUACAAGCUAAACCAUACUGAUUUGUCGCGCAUAUCUUGGAAUUAACCAAUUGUGGUACAAAAACAAACGUGGUAUUAUUUUAUUUUCAUCCACUUAUCCUCCAAAAUCGUAUCAGGAUAAUGGCAGCAACCCUGGGCUAUAUAGCUGAGACUCACGUAGAGGACCCAUUUCUUUGUUGGGUGAUGAAUCCAAAAUGGAGUGGGAGAGGGCACGAGGCCACACACUACUUCACUUUGUGCUACACAAGAUCUGCAUCACAUGGCAGAUAUAUAGCUGGAAUUUUGACCCCAUGAAGAGCCCUUUUCUCCCCAUGACUUGACAUUUUUGGUGCACGUCUUCUUCAUUCCUUUUAUAUAUUACUUGUGUGUAGCCCUGGGAGUGGAAGUUGUCCACGUUUACUAUUCGUUUGAAAAUCGAAAGUGAAACUUUAAAAAGUGGAGCCUGCACCAUUCUCUACGCAUGAAAGGCCUAGGGAACCUUUUGUCAAACACUUGCUGCUCAUUUGUUUUCUUUUGGAUUCAAAUUCAACCCACCCUCAAAUUGUAUGAAAAUGCCAGGAUUUUGUAUUGUUUAUAUGAUUUUUGAAGUGGGUAUUGUGUUUGAAUAUGAGGGUUUUUCUUCUUUUUUUACGUAUAUUAUUAUUUUGUUAUGGAUUAGGAGAGGACUAAAUAGAAGGUGAUGUGCAAUUGAGUUGAUGAUGGGAAUUAUUUAUAUCAUAUGUUUAAAAUACAUUACCUGAAAGGUUAAAGUCAAAAUAUGGCAUCACUGCAUGUGAUUUUAUAAUAGCAACAACUCAAGAACUGAGAAAUUAGGCAAGAAGCAGCAAUCCCAUAACAGGGUAUUGGCAGACAACAAAGCAGCAAGUCAAAAGCAAUACGAAAACUGAGUUACUCCUCAAUUCGAUAAAGUCCAACCAGCCAGUGGGUCUACGGUUUAAAGCUUGGAGCCCAUUCCAUGUCUCCACAAACUGAUAUGAAGACUACACAGCGUGGCAUACAAACACUGAAUUAUUUCUUAGAUUCUUCUUAUACACUCACACACACUCUAGUCUUAGCUUGAAAAGACAAAGAAAAAUGAUAAUAUAACUACAGAUUAAUUGAACAAACUGAAGCAUGAACUUUGAAGAUGGGCUGUCAUAUCUCGUGUAGAUCCCCCAUUGCCAUCCCUACACACGAUAUGGGUUAAAACUCAGAAGACCCUUGUUGUCUGCUGUGUCUAUGCCAAGAAGAAAUUAAAAAAAAAAAAAAAAGAUUGAAAUCUUGGGUGUUGAAGGGGACGAGGGAAAGGGACAGAGGGGCAUCAUGAUAUUGAGUGCCUUUGUCUGAAGCGUUUGGCAUCAGUCACCUGGAAGAAUGGAGAGGUGUUCGGGGGAGAUACCAGCCAGAUACGAUAGUAGUGUGUCUUUGACUGUGGCUUAAUAAAAUGAGUAGUUAGGCAAAAGACAAUGGGCAGCUACGAAUGGAGAGGAAGAUUAUUAAUAAAUAUAAUAUAAAUAGAAAGACAGAUAGGACUAGUGCUACAGAGAAUGAUUGCUUUCGAGUUGUCUGAAACUUUGAUUAAGCUCAAAGAAAUAUCAAAAAGCUGUGGAUUAUAAGCUGUUCAUUUGAUGACUUUUCAGUUAUGUAUGUUCAUUCACGUGGGUCUUGGAUUUUGGGAGAUGCCUAAUGCCUUGUUACAAUCAUUACUUUGUUAAAAGAUUCUGACCCUGUGACCAUCUUCCCCAAGUUUGGAAUCACCAUUAACACUACACUUCUUUAGUUUAAUCAAAAUAAAGGAAGAGACCAUUUCCUCCUCCAAACCCAAAACAAAAAUAUUAUCAUUGGUUAACGGGACUUGGAUUUUGGGAAGUUUGGAGAAAAGUGUGAAGGUUUUCAAAAGUUGACAGGUGGAAAAGGAAAAGAAAACAAUACAAGCUAAGAAGAGAAAUAAUGAAGAAAUAAAGGGAAAAGCCUCUUUUAGUAUUCCUAUUUGAAAAUACAUGUAAAAUGUAAUUCAUUACUAUCUUUUAGGCUAUAUUUGUUAAGAAGAAAAUAUAAAAGAGGAAAUAAAAUUAAAGAAUAUAUUCAAAAUCAAUAAAUUAUUUUUAUUUAUUAUAUAAAAAUUAUAUAAAUUUAAAAUGUAUAAAUUUUCAACUAAUUAUAAUUAUAUUUAAUUUUUUAUAUAUUUUUCACCAUAAAAACAAAUAUAGAAAAAUUAUUUUUAAUUUUUUUUUCUUAAUACUUUUUGAGUUUUAACUUAAAAACACAUGAAAUAUAAAUUAUUUUUAAAUGUUGGUAUUUAAUAUUUUUUUUCAAACUUCUACUACAAAACACACUUUUUGUUGAAAUAAAAUAGAAGGUAAGCUCAAGCUCUAUAUAUAUAUAUAUAAAUAAAAAUUAUUAAGACUUUUAAAAUUGGAAGGUCACGUGGACAUGUGAGGCCCACGUGAUAACAUGGACUUACAUUAUGAAUAUUCAAUACUUCCAUAAUAUAUUAAUAUCAUCUUGGAUAAUGUAGAAUAAAUAAAGGUAAUUUAAAUAAUCUGAUUAUCAAUGUAUAUAUGAUUUAAUUAUUGAAAAUUUUGCUUUUAAAAAUAUUGGCUUCAAUUUUAUUUCAAAGAAAUUAUAAUUAUUUGAAAGAAAAUUUAAUUUUCUUGAUACAAAAUGAUUACAAGAAAAAAGAUCGAGACAAAAAAAAUAUUAUAAUAUAUUAAACCUAAUUAUUUAUAGGGUAUCAUUUUAUCAACAUUUUAUAUAAGAUUUUGACUUUUUAGUUGAUAUUCGGAUUGCUUAUUUAUGAAUAAGAGAAUAUUCAUUAGAUCUUAAUUUACAUCAAACAAGCCGAUUACAUUAAAAGCAAGCAAUCUAGAAAUCUUUUAUCGUAAUUUUUUUUUUUUUGUUUUUUGGAUCAUAAAUGCACUUCAUUACCUAGUAAUUAAUUAGCUCUAUUGAAAGGAUAAAAAAAUUUCUAGUAGUUGGAAAAUAUUUCGAGAGAUUUAAAUGUCCAUGAAAAGUGACUUAAUUGGAAAAUGAAAUCUUGGAAAAGGGUGUAGGAAUAUUAUAUAUCACAAAAAUAGUUGUCUUGAUGUCGGCAUUCUCAACCAGAUGGAGACAAGCAUCAUGGGUGUCUCUGAAAGCAACCACUCCAUCAUGGAAUAAACAAAAAAAUGAGAGGGGACGAGAGAGCUAAGUUUCUUGAUUCAUAAUAAUUAGGAGCCACCUUGCUCAAUCCAGUUCUCACUUGGAAUUUUGUGAAAAUUAUUUUUAAGAUUAAUAUGAGUUUUUAUAUAUGUUUUGCUUAUUUUAUCAAAAAAGAAAAAAAUAAUAAUUUAUUAAUAAAUCAAUUUAAUAAUUUAAAAUGACUUAAUAACUUAAUUUAAGUCAUUAAAUAUAUUUAGUAAAAUGACUUAAUGGUAAGACUUAAAGUUAAAAAUAAUUAAUUUAAUUUUAAAUUCAUAUUUUUUUCCUAUCUAUGUUGGUUACUUCCACGAUCUCUUCUAUUACUUUACAACCUUAAGUGUUAAUUCAAUUUUUCUAUCAUAAUUAUAAUUUAUAAGGAUAAAUAUGUUAAUUUGAUUAUUUAAAAUAAGUUUUAAGUUAAUUUUAAUAUUUAUAUAAAUAAUUAAGUAAUAAUUUUGAAAUCAACAACUUAAAUAUAAUUUAACUUAAAGUUAAUUUAAGUUAUGAAAUAAUAAUGAUUAAAUUUUACCUGACAUUUUCUUAAAAAAGAACUUAAUAUGGAAAAUAAAAAUAAAUAAAUUUUAAUAGAAAUUCUAUUUUGAUUUUCAUAAAAAAUUCUUUCAUGUUAAAAUUUUUUUAUAAUACAAUAUCAUUCUUAAAAAAUUUUGACUUUGACUUCAACUUUAAUUUUGGAUUAAAACUAAAAAUAGAAGUUGGCAAACUGUUCCAAAGCAUGGGCUUUUUGGCCCAAACCAAACUUGCAGGCCUUGCCAUCUAGCCCAAUGGUUAAUGGGCUACCAAAUUGUUCCUUAUUUACUUGAGAUAUUUUGAUGGUGACUCUCCAUAAUUGGAAUUUGGACUAAACAAGAAGAUUAGAUGAUUGAUUGUCAUGUAUGUGGGCAUGUGAAAAAGACAAUUUUGUAAGGUGGGAUGGGGGGGAGGCCGACAUUGCGGAAGACUACAGACCAAAAACAAAUGUGGGAGGUCGACAUGGUGGGACACUAUUUAUGCGAUGCUCCAUAGUGUGAGACAACAGUCCUCAUAAUAUGAUGAUACAAAGAACAAGUGGUUUUGGUGGCCACUAAUCAAUAUAUAUAUAUAUAUUAUUUAUAAGCAUUAUUGUUAUUUUUAUUACUGUCCAAAAGUAAGGAAGUAGUGGAUACUAUAAAAUAAAUUCACCAUCGGCAAAUACUAGCGGAUCCAGGCAAGACAGCUGCCCCCAACUUCAAAUUUUAAAGAAAUUAGCUCCCUUACCACUAGGUUACUUAAAUAAUUUGAUGUUAUUCUGUACUCUUGAUAUAAGUUUCAUAUAUUGCCCCCCUCAAUCUCUUCCUAGCUUUGUUUCUGAUUGCAAAUCUCGUUGAUUUUUGUGUAAUAAUUCAUGAUGAAAAAUUAUAAAGAAAAAAAGAAAAGAAAAUUCACAAAUUUAACGUGGUUUGACAGAUUAUUUACGUCACGAGAACAUGAAAAAAAUACUUUUAUUAUAUUACAAAUUAAAAUUACAUAAAAAAAUAUUUAUACUAACCUUCAUAUAAUGAAAUUUCAAAAAUAUUCCCGAAUGUUGCCCCCUCCCUCCAAUCUAUCGUACAUCUUGAACAAUAAAAAUAUAAACUUGAAUAGUAAAUAUCGUUGCUCUAUUUUAACAUUUACCCUUUUUUUUUUAUAUAUCUUUCACUCAAUAUGAGUGACCAGUAUAACAAAUCCACUUAUUAUAACUAUUGAAUUAAUAAUGAUUUGAUUAAAAAAUACAAAAGACCUGUUGAGAACAUGAACUGAAAUUUCACAAAAAAAUUGACAAAAAAAAAAAAAAAAAAAAAGGAAAAGGGGGAAAGGUGACUUGGUCAAUAGAGUAGGAGAAACAUGGUUGUCAGCUCCCAAAGUAAAUAUAACCAGUUACCUAUAAAUUGAGAGAUGGCAUGCUGUGUCAUUUUCACCGGAAAACCAGGCAUAGUAUAAUAGAUUAAAGCCAUAAAUUAUUAUGGCAAAGGUGAUUUCAGUGCGCCCUCCAUUACUCCGCAGCGAUUAUUGAUGACUUUGGAUGAAUUCUAGAACAUGAAUUAUUUAUAGUUAUUUAUGCGUAUCAAUAAUGGAGGGAAAAAGACAGCAUACUCCACAAUUCCAUUGCAAAAUAUUCACAUCCUUAUCCAAAAAUUAUGGCAUGCCAUAUCUAUCGGACCUCAUCCAAAUAGCCCUUUGAUGUGUUAAAUCUAUCAGCUCCAAUGAUAUCUACGUAGAAGUUGUUGGCUCACUCCUGAAUAUGGUUAAUAAUAGAAAAAUAGGAAUAGAGAGUCCAGUGUGUUCAACCAAUAGGCCUUGGAAUCCGUGGUGGAGUAGCCAAGCAUUGUCAAUUAAUUGGGCCAUGCACUGCAACCUACUUCCUCCUAAGGUUGUUUUCCGCCAUAAAAAAAGUUGGGUUUUAAAGAUGAAGUGCAUGAUUGAUUUAUUGGUGGAUAAACAAAUAAUAUAGAAUGAUGCAAGUCAAAAAAGGGUGUGCGUUUCCUAGGAGAAUUCUACAUUCAAAGCUCAACCUUCAAGACAUUAGCAGAAGUAAUCACAUGGGAGGCAUGAUGGGGGGCACUGGCUGAACCGGUGCCGAGCCAUGCCAAUCCAACACACUCCUCUGCCUCACGCACCCUUGUCAGUACUCGGUCGCCCGUCUCCCCCCCCCCCCCCCCCAUAUUCCUAUGUGUUAAGAAGGGACCCCCUGGUAUUUCCCCCUGCCCUUAAAAAACUUUGAAAGGGGGGAGUGGCUUUCUGGGUAUUUGAAAAAANNNNNNNNNNNNNNNNNNNNNNNNNNNNNNNNNNNNNNNNNNNNNNNNNNNNNNNNNNNNNNNNNNNNNNNNNNNNNNNNNNNNNNNNNNNNNNNNNNNNAAAAAAAGUGGGGUUUAAAACGGGAAGCCCAGGAUUGUUUUUUGGGGGGAAAAACAAUUAAUAUAAAAUGAGGAAAGCAAAAAAGGGGGGGGCUUUUCUUGGGAAAUUUCACCUUUAAAAGCCCACCCUCCAAAACUUUGGCAAAAGUAUCCCCUGGGGGGCCAUGAGGGGGGGCCCGGGCGGACCCGGGGCCGACCCAUCCAAUUCCAACACCCUCUUUUCCCCCACGCCCCCUUGUCGGUAUUGGGUCCCCCUUCCCCCCCCCCCCCCCCCCCAUAUUCCUAUGUGUUAGGACGGUACCCUCUGCUAUUCCCCUCUGCCUUCAAAAAGCUUGGAAUGGGCGUAGUGGCUUCAUGUGUAUGUGAAACAACAUCUAAUCCCAUCGAUUCAUGGUACUUCACUUCUCUUCUAUACGAUAUAGUUGAGAAAAAGAGAAACGUAAGUACUGAAUGAAACUUUCGAAUUGAUUUGAUUUCGGCAACAUUUCAAGGCAACGGAAACAAAAGAAGAAAAACAUAUCUUCAACGCAAAUUGCAAGGGUUUAUUCAUGUGAUGUUGCACUGCAUACGUUUUUAACCUACACGAUUAUGUACAGUGGAUGAGGGCCCUACACCCCCUUCUUCUUGAAACUUGCAUCACAAUUUAAUACGGCCGUUUGCAGUGUACUGAAUCCACUGUGUACCAACUAGACAGAUUUGACAAUAAUACCCUCCAGAGAAUGCUGACCCCGGCCUGGAACCACGUCUUCAUCGGUAACCUAUCUGCUAAAAUAUCUCUAGAAAGAUAUUCCCGUAAAAUAAAAUUGGAAAAGUACAAACCCACGUUCUGAUCUGCGACACACCGGACACUCCUCUGCACUCGCUACACGGAAUUCAACCUUUUGUCUUUUUUCCCUGCUCUCUUUUUGUCUUUUCUACGGUUUUUUAUUUUUUCUCUUGAAUUAAUAGUACUGUUGAAGCGCGGUCGCUUAGCCGAGCCAAGCUAAGCCGCAAUGGGGGGAGGUAAAACCGUGGAAAGAUGAAAAAAGAGAAAGGAAUAAAAUAAUUGUACUCGCCUCCUAUUAAGUUUCCAAUAAUUGGAAGCAUUCCUCGGAGCAUUUUCAGAAUUGCACCCGCCUCCCCACCCUCCUCCGAUUUAAUAAUAACAGCAAAUGUCAGCAUUAUUAUAAUGUUUUACACCUGGGUGGACAGUAGAGUCGUAGACUUGCUAAUUCAAUCAAUUUAUGAACAAAAAUAUUAACAUUAUUGUAACCUUUUAAACAUGCCUAAGAAACAAGGUGUGACAUAGUUUCUACCUAUCAAAUCAAACAAUUAAAUUUGACCUUUUUUCAAUAUUAUCGGGGGAUGGUAAAUAGUAAAUACCGGGGAGGGGCAAAAGGGGAAAGGGAGAGAGAAAGAUGAUAAACGGCGGAGAUGUCCCCGCUGUGAACAGAAGGAGCAGGAAUCUUUAUCAUGUAUGCGGGACCCACCCACAAAUGGCAACACUCCCCCACACGCCUCAUUAUUACUUUCCCCCACAAGGGAAAAAAGGAAAAAAAAAAAGAAAAAAGCGAGGCUGCUGGCCGUACACGUGGUAUGAUGAGAGGCGCGUGACUGGGCAGUGAUGAUGACGACAGCUGAGCGUCACGCGCGAGCGACGGUCACGGUGAAGGAAGCCCCCGCUGGAUGCUGCCGGUGGUGGUAGUGGUGAUGGGGGGUGUCAGAGAUGUGGGGGUUGCAUCAUUUGUAAUUUAGCUUUGAAAUUUGGAUGAGAGGGUGUUGGUGCCUAGUGGACACGGGAUAGUGAUGGUGGUCAAAGCUUGCUGCUUGUGAGUUGUGAUGCGGUUCAUAAUUGAGCGAUCGGAAGGGCGGAAAGGGCUGCAGCUGCACAGGGCACAGUCCCCACCACCUCACUCGUUUUUUUUCUUCUUUUGGCCUAAAGCGCCCCUUAAUUUUAGGGUUCUAUGUCCCUUUGGAUGCGCCCAUUUGAAAUUUUCAGUGUUUUUAACCUGCCCAUUGGCUUCAUCCCCGCUUCCACAUUUGGAUUUUUGCUUUCUUUCAUUGUAUCCACGCUAUUCUUUUCAAUUAACCCUGACUGAUUUUGACUAAAUUAUUUUUGAAUGCAAAUCAUUUUAAUUCUUUAAAGUGACAUCAAUGUUAAACUAUGCUUAUAUAUCAAGUAACAUUUCUUUUUCUUUUUUUAAUAUGAAAAACCAUGUGAUUAAUGUGUAGGCGUUACAUAUAAUAUAAGUAUAUAAAUAUAAGUUUUAUCUUAUACUUAAUAUCUAUGUACAUAAAUCAUAUGCAUUUUUAACUAGGUUAUUUAACAUGUGCACAUAAUUUAUAAUUAAUAUUUAAAAAUAAAUAAAUUUAGAGAUUAGGUUGAAAUAAAAGUGAAACUUCCUUUAUUAAACAUGAUACAUAAAUUUUAAAAAAAAUAUAAUUUAAAAAUAACCAAAGGAACUAUUAAUUACCUAUCACAUGAGUUUCAUUACCGUAUUAGAUCGGUUUCUAUUGAAAGUUCGAAUCAAUCACAAUAUAUCAUGUCUUCACAUUACUUUAUAUGUUAUUUAAAUAUUUAUUAAUAACAUACAUUUAAUUGUACACCGUUCAAGAUUAUAAGGCCAUUUAGUCAUGUUUUUUAAAGCUUGUUUUUAAAAAUAAUUUUUUAUUUUUUAAUUUAAAAACAAAUUUAAAAAAGAAUAAUCAAACGCACCCAUAUUUUCCUUUUGUUUUUAAAAAUGGGUGAAAACAACUUUUAAUUAUUCUUUAAAAAUUGUUCUUUAUUUCAUUUUGUUUUUAAAAAUUGUUUUAAAAAAACAACGAUCAAACAAUGUUAUAAAAUUUUAAAAAUAGUUUUUGUUUUUAAAAAUGAAAAAUUAUUUUUAAAUCACAUGACCAAAUAAGUUCUGAGUUUCACAAAUAUUGAAUUAAAACCUUGAAAUUUUUUAAAACUAAUAAAUUUUUUGUAUAAUAUAAUAUUGGUUAAGUCCCUUCUAUUAGUCUUAGUACAAAGACAUAGAAUAAUAAUGAUAAAAAUUAUAAGAACCAUAAUGCAAUUAUUAUGGGUUUGAAUACAUGAGUUAAUAUAUUACUUAGAAUAUAUAAUAAAUAUGAUAACAAAAAAUAAAUUAUAUACAUGGUGGAUUCAUAAUCGAUCCUAUCUUCUUUAAGGAAAGAAUUUGAUAUUUUAAAAGCGCGUUUAAUAAUGCUUUUAAUAAGUACUUUUAAUAUUUGUAACACUUUUUAAAACCACUAUAAACGUAAUCUAAAAGUCUCUUUGAUCAUGAUUCUAGAAAAUAUUUUAAUUUUUUUAAAAUUUGAAAGAUAAAAAUUUUCAGAUAUUAAAAAAGUUAGAAACGAUAUAAUUACUAUCAAACACACUCUAAAAAUGUGUUUAAUAAUAUUUUUAUUUGAAGUAUUUUUAAUAAAAAUAUUUUUACGAGAUCAUCUAUUAAGUUUUUUUUUAAUUAAAAAUACUAUAAAUGAUUUUUCAUAUUUUAAAAAAUAUUUUUUAAAUUAUGUCAAUCCCGUAACUUUUUUUCAAAAAUACUUCAUAAGUUAAAAUGGCUUCCUAGAAUCACACCCAAUGAGUUGUAAAUUUAUAAUAAGAGUAAUUAGUAAAAUCAUUCCAAAAUUUGAGUAGUGUUGGACAUGAUAGCUGAGGUAUUCAUGCGCAGUGGCUGUGUAUCAUGGGAUUUAAGGGUUGAGUGGGGAUGUGUUGGCUAAAAUUCCGGCAAGUGGUUGGUUCACAUGAUUGAGACUGUGGACAUGUAUUUACUAACUUGAAGGCCCAUCGGUUACUUAUAUUAUUAUGAUAAGCAAAUAAUUAUUAACAGGCCAUUCAAGUUUUUGAGUGUAAAUCAUUUUUUUUUUUGGGUGCAAACAUCCGUUCAUCCUUUUCUGGCUGUUUUUUAUUGGACUUUCGGUUUUUCACAAACAACAAUAAUAACAUUUAUUUUUAAAUAAAUGUUAUGUUCUCUUAGAUACUUUAUUGGAUUUGUCCUUCUAAAAUAUUACCAAUUUUAGGAUUGGAUUUUGUGAAAAUAAUUUUAUAUGUGAAUUAUUUUAUUUGUUUUUGUCUUUAAAUUCAUUUGUUCUAUUCUAAGAUAAUUAACUGAUUGAUAAGGAGAUUGUUAGUAUUUUCAUUCAUCUUAGUAAUAUAAUGUAGAUUUGUUAUUAUAGUUUGAUGUUUAUGCAAGAACACGUGCAUAAAGCUAGAAUCAACAAGAAGAUGAAAAGAAUAGUUAAGAGAUGGGGAAAGAGACUUUAGAUAAAGAUUUUGAUCGUGGUUUGGCAAAUCCUACAUUCCUCCAUGCUCCCAAGCUUCUUCAAGCCCUAAGAAGUUUUCACUAUUCCUUCAGGUGUUUUUUAACCAAGAUUCAAAUACAUACUCUUGUACUGAGGAAUUUGUAUAAGUUUUUGAUGCCAUCUUACCUUUACAAGCUCUUUACAAUAUUCACAAGGUUCUUAUAAGAUUUCAAGAAAAGAUGGGAAUAAAGAACUCUCUUUGAAGAGUAGAUAUAUAAAGUAAAAUAUACUUAAACUUAAGUACAAUCAAAGAGUAUAAAAUUUUGGGUUUAAUGCUCAAUAAAUGCUCAUGGAAAGUUUAAAUUCGAAGUAAUAAUGAUUUGCAAGUUAUGGGUUUGUUAUAAAAUGAGUUUCAAUGGUCCUACUUAUAACUUUAGAAAACUAGCCAUUAGGCAUAUUUUUUUACUCAAUUUGUUUAAAUCCUCCACUUACCAACCAUUAGCAUUUGUAGGUGACCAUUGAGACUUUUAUUAGUUAACAAGUUGCUCAAUUGGUUGACCAUUUGGUUUAUUGACUGCUCGAUUGAUAGAUAACUAUCAAGGUGAAUCAGUUGUCCACUUUAGUUAACCAUUAGCCAAUAACAUAAGAAACUCAGAAAAAUGUUACAUAAGUGAUCUUUAACUAUUUAGGUGAUUUUCUUUUUUGGUUUUACUUAAUUCUAAGUAAAACUUGAUACUAAAUAGUGCUUAGUAGUACUGAAUUGUUUCUUAAAGUGAUGAACAUCGUUUAAUUCUGUUCAUAUGAUUUAAAAUGUUAUUCAAUUAAAGUUCCUAAAGUGAAAAAGGCCACCUUAAUGAAAUCUUACAUUCCAAUAUUUAAACCAAGUAUGAAAGCUAUCACUUAUAGCAUUGGAAAUGUCCCCAUGGUAGAGUAGGCAUUUGUAGAUUAAAGGUAAUUUUCAUUCUAUAUCCAAGUCGCACCAUAAGAAGUAUUAUUGAAAGUAAUUCAUGGGGAAGCAAAGUUCUUCAAUGACCUCCUAAAAAGUAGCAAGUAGAAAUCCGAUUGAAUGAUAUCAAAUUGAAUGUUCAUACAUUUCUAGACCUUAGAUUAAUUUAUUGAAAUAGUGAAGUUUGAUAAAUCAAAGGAUUUGAGUUUCGAGUAAUAUCUCUAACUAUGGAAUUGAAUCUUACUAUUAUUACACAUGUUAUAUUCUAUAUAAACUAGAAAUACUAUUGAUUUCAAGAAAUCAAAUUAACUUGAUUCAUUUCAUGAUUUUGUAAACAUUUUUUCAUAUCACGGCAUUGUCAAUUAUAGAUUGUUACUAUAUCAUUUUUCAAAAAUCAUAAUCCUCAAAGUACUUAUGUGUAUCUCAAGAUGCUUUAAGCAAUAAUAUGUGAAUGUUUUGAUUAAAAUGGGUUUAGGAGCUUAAUUUAUAUCACUAUAGACAUUUCGAAUGCUCGAAAUCAUACAAAAGAUUAUUAGUGUGCAAGAAUAGAGUUUUCAAAUGUUUUACAUGGAGCAUUUGAAUGUUCGAUAUAUAUAUAUAUAUACAUUUUAAAUAGGGCAUUCGAAUGUCUUUAUUACAUAAGGUGUAUCGAUGGUCAUUUUUUCACUUUUCCUUUGUCUUUUCACUCAUUAAUUAUUUCUUCAUGCUCUCAUUCCGCUCAUAUCUAAGUGUUUUUAACUCUCAAUUUUCAUUCGUGUGCCUUAAAUUUGUUUUCAUAGGGUUUUCUUGUACUAGGUCUAGAACACUUUUGGCUAUUCACUUUCUCAUGUUAGUUCCUAUUCUUCUAGAUUCUCUAGAUUUUCUACAUAGCUCCUCAUAGUGGUACUAGGAGGGUACUUUCAUUUCCCUUUAGGUCACCAUGCCCUAAGAGAUUUGUACAUGCUUCAUAUUCCAUGGAUGAUCUUUUGUUCAUUAUUUCCAUUCUCUAUAGUAUAUAGAGACUUUCUAUGAGAAGUUCUUUGACUACUUGUGGAGCUUGAGAGCUGGACGGAUUUAUCUUCGAGAUGUUAAAUGGGUCGUGUUGAGCCAACCUUACACAACUCAUGAUCCUACAUAAUAGUCAUGCCAUGUUGUGUUGAGGUAGUGGGCCACGUUGGUUGGUCACUUCAAUGGGUCACCCUACUUUGUUAAUAUUAAAUUUAUUUUGUCAAGUUAUUCUAUUGUCUUAGAUUUGUUGUUAUUAUUAAGUGAAAUUUCUUUUUGACACUUCAAACAUCUUAAAUAAUUACACUUUUUAUUUUUAUGUUUAUCGAAAUUUGUAAUUAUAAAAUUUAUAAAAUUUUAAUUCUUUGCUUUUUAAAAAUAGAAAAGAUCAUAUUUUAAUUUAUUGUUGAUCAUAAUAAUAAUAAAUUUAAAAUGUUGAAAUAUAAAAGAAAAUGAAAUAUAUGUCCAUGAAUAUUUCAAUAAAUUACAUGAAAAAAGGGGAAAUAAGUAAGAAUUGCAUUUCACAUGAAAAAUAAAAAUAGGAAUUGAUUUACUUAUUUACCCUUUAAACUAGAUGUUAUACCGUUAUUAGGUGGGAUACUUAUGACGUUAUGACAUUUGGCAUGAAAAAGGAAAAAAAACAAAAGUAGUAUUAAAAUGGGCUAAGUGGCCGGGCAGAUGUAAUGGGUGAACAUGGUGGGCUAACAUGAUGGGGCACAAUGAUAGGCCAAUACGAAGGGAUCAUGCAUGCCCUUAAGCCUAGCAUGACCCGAAGGACUAGAUUGUGUUAGGAUCGACUGACCCCAUUUUUUAAUAUGCCAAGACCUACCUUCACAACACACUGAUGUUAUCAUUUACAUUCCUCUGAUUGAUGUUCUCAAUUUUGCAUGGCUACUUAGUACUUCGAGUGUAACAUGUCCUACCAUCCUUCACAUCAUACCUAAAUUUGGUGAUUUGUAACCUCAAGUUGUCCAUCAUGUCCUUAUAGUAAGGGAUAUCAAUAUGGAUAGAUUCAUCUUAGGUGUUGUUGACCCAUACACAGCAAAUACCCUUGUAGGUGGGCUUCCCUCUUCCAUUAUCAUCUCCAUCAUCUCCAGGAUUCUUGAAAUACCCUUAGAAGAUAAUAAGUUGGGUGAACCUUAACAAAGUGUAGGAAAUCUCAUAUGGUGGCAACAUAAUAAAUACGGGAGAAAAAGACCAUAAUGAGGGGAAAACUCAUUGACUGUCAGGGAAACAAUAAUCAUUCCUUGACACCAUGUGUAUUAUGUAUGCCCCACAGCAUAAAAAUAAAAACCAAUGGUGGCUCAAAUAAGAGCUAGAAGCGAAAUAGUCCCUUAUAAAUUUUCUAAGUUCUCCAAGCAGAGGAGAUGUUCGUAUGUGUAAUUAAAAGAUCAACUUUAUCCAUGUUCUAUUCAUUCUCAUAGCCCCGAAUAGAAACAUGGGAUUGAGCCAUUUUUCCCAUCAUUUGUUCUUCAUCAAGACGGAUGGAUAUCGUGGCCUUCAUUUUCUGUUUGUCUUUUUGCAGAAGGGAUAGAUAUUUCUGUAGUGGCACCUUCCAUGAGUACUCGCAUGGAAUGAAUGUGUUGCCAUUGUGUGGAGCCUAAGAAAGGUUACUUACUAAUGGCAUUCACUCUCUCAAGAGGCAAGUGCAUGUGUCAAUAAUUCAUUAAGCUUCUCCUAAUUAUAUGUAGCUUGAGGUCGACAUAAGACACAUUUAGCAUUCUUAACCCAUCUUUAUAUUCCUUGGAUUUUUUUUUUCUUUCUUUAACUUUGGUGCUAAUUUGACAAUUUGAGAGGGGAUAUAUUAUUAAUAGAGGUGUCCAAUGAGUCGUGUUGGGCCGGCAUGACCCACUUAAAAUUCGUGUCGGGCCAAGCCAGUCCAUGCAAGCCAAAUAGGUGGCCCAACACAGCCCAUAAGCCCAUGGGUUAAUUAUGUCGUGUCGUUUCGUGUCAGUGGGCUGUGGCCAUAGGCCACUCACUUUAUUAAAAAUUUUAAUUUAAUUUUUUUAAGUCAUUUUGUCUUAAGUUUUUUUAUUAUUAAAUUUUUUUUUGUUACUUUAAACACCUCUAAUAAUUAUACUUUUUAUUUUUUAUAUUUAUAUCUAUCAAAUUUAUAAUUGUAAAAUUUAUAAAAAUGCUAGUUUUUUGUUUUUAAAAAUAGUAAAAAGUGAUAUUUAAAGGGUGAAGUGGGUCGACACGAUGGGCUAGCACAAUGGGCCAACACAAUGGGGUAACACGAUGAGCUGACACGGUGGGCCGACAUGGUGGGUCGACACGAUGGCAUGGUGGACUAUUUCCUUAGACCCAACACGACCCUCUCCUUUGAGCCAUGCCAACCUGAGCCACUAUAGUAAUUGGGUCGUGUCUGGCCAUGGACCAAAAUGGGCAGUUCGACUCAUUGGACACCUCUAGAUAUAUACCGUCCGAUAUUUUCUUUAGUUUGCAAGAGGCUAUUCAAGGAGUGUGAAGUUGUGCACUAGACAAACUCUGUGCAAUACUCUAUGUAGUUUCUGAAGGGCAAUUUGGAAAAAAUGGUUUAUUGGAAAGUUUUGUUCUAACACAUGCAAGCACACAUAUAAAUAUAGAUAAAAUGAUUCUAGGAAACAUUUUUAAUUUUUUAACCAUUUAAAUUUUUGUAUUGAAAGAGUGUUUUUAAGUGUUAGAAAAAACUAGUAAUGCCUUUUAAAAUCACUGCCAAAAAAGUUCUUAAUAAUUUCAAGUGAUUCAUUUCACUAUGAAAAAUGGAUGCAAUAGUCAUAUUUGUUAGAACGUAAUUUUCUAUAUUAAAGUUCGUUUAGAAAAAAGUUCCAAAACAAGAAAAAUUCUAUAAUUACCUUUAUUCUUCUUUUAAUUUCACUCUUAAACUUUAUUUAAAAAGAUGUAAAAGAAGAUUAAUGACCGCUCCCUUCUUUACUAAAGGUCAAUGUGAAAGUUUAUUUAAGCAUAAAUCAUAUCUUUUUCAUUCUACUAUGUGACAUGACAGUCGUAAAUGCUGAGGCCAGUUCAUAUAGACGAAUUUUAGAGUUGAAAAGUGGGGUUUGGUGUUGGCUAAAAUCUCGGCUCCUCUUUUGGCGUCAUGUGAAUGACAAAUGUCAAUACUCGUGAAACAGGCCAUUCAAAUCUUUUUUUUUGGGGGUGUAAGAACAUUUUUCAUUUGUUGGCGUAUUACAGCAAAUGUGGUAAGCCAUGGACCACGUCUAUUGAAACACUCUCAAUUGUACUUGAGAAAGAAAAAUGCCAACGACUAAGUUCCAAUCGAUUCAUUCACCAUUUUUCGUUAAGUCCAGGUUGAUUGAGUGGCAUAUACUCAAAGUCCCCAUGUAGCGUGGACCAAAUGGCAGCCUUAACAGCCGAGUAUGUAAAUAAUUGACAAGCGAUCUUAUAUGGUUUGGGUUCGGAUUGGAAUUAUUGGAGUCUACCAACCAGGCCCCUCCUAAAAAUUCAAAAUCCAUGCCAUAAUUGUCCGGUUGAUCCGGGGAGAGUAGCCGUGUUUAUUCGACAGCAAGUAUAUUAAGGAGAAAAAAAGACAAAAAGUGAUAACUACUUCAUCUAAAUGUCUUGAAGGAGGUCUUAUACUGAGUACCCUUAAUCAGUAGUGCAGCCAAAAAUUCAUCAUGAAGGGUAGAGAUUUGAGGAUAUUAAAAUGAAAAAAAAAAGAAAAAAAAAAGCUUCAUCAUACUCUUACUCUCCUCCUUGGCAUGGGUGAAGGGGUUAAUCAUUGUCUUAAAACAGUCUUGUAUUCAUUUUCUUGGCACUCAUGACUACUAUUUUUGUGUUGUUUAUUUUCAUUUUUGAAGGGAACAUGUGUCUUCUAAGGUCCCAUGUGGAUCGGAUCUUAAUUUUAAUUAGUAAAAAUAAAUAAAUGUCAUGAGUAUUUAAUUAACCCUUGAAGAUAUCAUUUGACAGCAGCAAAGCUAGAUGGUGUGACUAGCUUGCAAAGAUUUUUGUUGCCUGCAAUAGGCCCAAAUCAAGUCCUUUAUUUAGGCUCAACCCAAGUUUUUUAUGGGCUUUGGCCAGUCCAUCCCUCCCUCUAGCCCUUUUGACAGCCGAAACUAUCUAACUAGUCCACAUUUGGUGAUAAGCUUAAAUCAAUGUUUGAUAUUUCCUCCAUUUCAAUGAUUCCCAAAAGGAUGAUUGGGUCCACGUACUUAUGAGAUGUGUUUGCAGAAUCUUUCUUGAGGUCUUUGUCAUGGGUUCUCUAUUUGUGUAUUUCUCAAGUUCGAAGUUAUCCUACCAAUUAAGAAUGAAGUUACUUUCUUCUCAAAAAUGCUUGAUAACAAGCAACUCUAUGAGUUGCUUCUGGGAACUAAACACAAUGACAUUUUGAAAAUGAUGCAUGACACUCACCUAUGCCUAUAUCAUUCUUGGUGUACAUAUAUUUUUUCAAAAGAUAAUUCACACAACAUGAACCGCAAAAGGAUAAGAGUAUUGGGUUUGUGCCGACCACAUUAAGAUGGGCCAAAGUAUAGUGAGAUCAGGCCGAUAAUCCUAUACAAGUUGGGUUCUUUUGUUGGCCUCAAAGAUUAAGGUAUAGACGAGAGCACUCUAAAAGCCUAAUCUAAGUGUUAUGGUAUUGAGUAAAAAACUUAUCCCUUAGGUGCAUGGUUGGCCAAUAAUAUAUAAAUAACCUUUAGCAUCUUAACACUUAUUGGUUUAAUUAAUUAUUAGACAUUUCAUAAACUUAUUUGGGCUAUAACAUACCACCCUUGAGCUUAAGUCUUAACAGUGUGGGUCAAUAAUGUAUACAAUAUCAACUUCAGUUCUAUCAUAAAUCUUUUUUAGUACAACCGGAAUUCAAAUACACUCGUAGUAAGUUCCAACUACCUACAAGCCUCCCUUGAUUUUUUUUUUUUCCUUCAUGAAUUUUAAGAGAAUUUCAUUUUGUACUGAUGUCUUAAUCGUUUUACCAUACCAUGCAUGAUCUCUUAGUCAUCGUUUUGGGUAGUUUUAACUUUUAACUGAUGAUCCCUCGACACCCACCUUUAGAUUGAUACAUUGGGUCGAUAAACUGACCAAAUCCAAGUAGGCAUAGACUUUCUUAUAUAAAUGUUUACUAUAUAGUACAUAGCAUACCUAGUUUAAAUUUGAUCAGAAUAAUCUAGCCAUGCAUGCAAAUAUAUGGCAUGAGAAAAACCAAACAUUUAUAGAAGAAUUGACAAUGAUCAGUAAGCAAGUCCAAAGUCCAAACAAGCUCAAACUGAAAACCUUCAUUAGUUAAUUAUCAAACGAGAGAAAAACACUCUCCAUUGCCAUAAAGUUUGCUUACAAUUAAGUAUAUUAAGUACAUAUAUAUAUAUAUAUAUAUAUAUAUAUAGUAGGCCUGUUAUUUAGGUUGGAGAAAUGAAAAUUAUUUCCAUUUGCCCAUGAUCACGACAUUAUAAGAACCAGUACCACUUUAGUUUUAAUAGGUUAUAUCUCAUUGGCAUAAACAGCAUCCGAGCGGAAGCUUUGCUGGACUUCAAGAGCUAGUUCCUCCACACUCAGCUGGCAUUCGAGUCCUAUCUGUUGAUAGAGAUACGAGAAAUAAAAGAAAUCAACAGCAAGAAUUUCAAUAAUAUCAAAUUCCCUAUGGUGAAAAAAAAAAUGUUGGGUUCUUUAUCGAUAUGUAUAUGCCAUCUUCAUGUGUGUCAUGUGUGCAGGGAAUAUUACAUUAGUUUGAAAUGUAUGCAGUACAAACAUCGACGAGAACUCAAACUUUCAUGUAGUUUUGCAACAACAUUAGUAAUAGCUGAACAAUUAAUCCAUAAUUUUAUGUAGUGGACAGCAUCUAAUUUGACUGAGACACUGUAGAUCAUAUGUAUAUCAAUAUACUUGAUCACGUGAAUGUAAUAUACUAGCCUCGCAUGCCCUCAACUAGAUGAUGAGUAAUAACCAGUAUGGGAGUGCAACUGGUGAUUGUAGAGAUAAAAGUUUAGGUACUAAAAAUUGUCAAGAUUUCCAUACUAGGGUUCUAGAAUACAAUCUGACAGUUUUUCCUCUUAUCCUGGGGUGAUUGUAGAGAUAAAAGUUUUGAUAUUUGGAAUAACGUCCAUGUGAUAUACAUACCUUUAUCACAGAGGAGUAUAGGACAGUUUCCUCCAUGCUGCUGAUGUUCAGAUGGAGGACUUCAAACGAAAAUUUCUCCAACACAUUGAUUAUUUUCACGAUUUGGCCCGGUAUGCGGCGAGAUAUUAUUCUCAAGAUGACAUUGGAUCCGGAGAUCUUUGCUUCAACAUCAGCAACUGAAGAGUUGCAACAUGCUCCUAGUUCCUUGAAGUUCUCCAAUCCAAAGGGGGUGUCGGGUUGAGAAGUCAGCUGCAAUGGCCUUGGGCUAGGACCAGGGCUUGGGCUAAGACUUUUCCUCCGUUUCUUGGACUCCAAAGACUGCAGCACUUGGUGCAGCUCCUUGAUGAAUUCUAUCACUCCCCCUAUUAUAGAUGCUUGAUCUCCCUUAAUAUGAAAAAAUAAAAACCAAAACCAGCAGGUUAAAAGUGGAUAGAAGUGGUGCAACUCCUUGAUGAAUUCUUCUGUGAAGAAAGCUGAUAGAUGGAGAAGAUAUAGAUAUAGAGAUCUAGAAAGAGAGAUUAAUUGAUUACCCUUUUGAUAUAGAAACAUGGGGUCAAGGAGCGUAAAACCUUGAGGUGCUCAUUCAUCUGUCUUCUCCUGUUCCUCUCAACAGCUAUGUGAGACAUGUUGUGGUUGAAAACAAGUCUCUCCACACAAUAUUGCUGACACACACACAAGUCUUGAGUCUUCUCUAUUUAUAAGCAGCAGCAAAUAUGAGAGUGGCAGAACUAGUUGUAGGUUGGCAUUAAAUGCGAGACGUUGCACUCUCGUGAGGUCACUUCCACUGAUGUCCCUCUCUCUCUCUCUUCUCUGGUAGAUAUAUUACAUCUCACGUUUAUUAUCUUGGGUCAAUUACGUGCCCCGUGUGAGUUAAAAGAAGGCAAGGGCUUCUUCCCGUCUAUCUCAUGCACAUUACCUGCCCCUUUCACUAUAUCAUGCAUGCCAUGCUCACCUCUUCAUCCCUCAAACUUUCUUCUCUCUGCCGUAUACAUGAUCUGUAUAUUUUCCCAACACCUUCCGAGCAUAUAUAUAAGAAUUCAACACACGUACAAGAGCACCAGUGUUUUCCAUUGUUGUGUGUGAUCUUUGUAGGGACCCCUCCCUCCGAGAACACGUGGCACGCAUCUUGCCGUGACACGUGGCACGCAUCUUACAGUGACACAUAACACACAUUGUCAUCCGGGUCAUCCUCAUUCGGAUCUUCCUAUAAAGCACACAGGGCGCACUUUUUAUCCGGACUGCCUCAAGGAAGAGCAAACGACGCUUACAAAGCAUAGACAUCCGGACGACUUCCAUUAAUGCAUCCGCUCCACAAUACAUCCUGAUAACCAACAUGGCUAUCCGGAUAUGAUUGUCCGGAUCAUUGACUAAAGUAAAGCGAGUCUUACACGCCAUCACAACAACCAACCAUGGCCCACGUCCCAUCACCUGCAGAGUGAAAGGAUGGGUUGAGGUGACAAUAAGUCACUUCCCACGAUCUCUGACAGCUGCAUCACCUACCACGGUUUCUGACAGUCACCCGUAGGGUGGUGAUGACUCUGCUACCAUCUAAAUAUCAUCAUGACAACAUAAAAUAUCUCCCCACCAUUAAUGAGAGGAACAGUACUCCUGGCACUAUAUAUAAACCUUCACACGAAGAGGAAGGUAAUCCCCGGAGACCUGAAAAAAUGUCAACUGAGUUAUAUCUCCCUCUCUAACAAUGGCUAACAAAACCAUCAGAGGGUGCGUCCGGACACCCUGUCCGGACGUCUUUUGCAGGUAUACCGACUGAGUCAAUAACCUAUAUUGGUUGAGGUUGCGCGUCCAUCCAUUUGGCAACUACGUGGAACGCCAGAAGCGCGGAGUAUCAACAAUCUUUUAUGUAAACAAUAUGACCUCUUAAAUGGGCACACAGGGUUGAACAAAGACCGGGGUUUUCAUGAUUCAGUUACUAUCAUAUCAUAAUCAUAUGGUUUGGCUAUCAUAUAUCAACAUCAAUCAUAAACAAUAGAAAGGAAAAAACUCAACACAGUCACGGAACUGAGUAGAACUUGUAGGGAACUUUACAGUUAGAAUGAUCAUAGUGUAAUGGAUUCAAGUUCCAUUCAUAUGCAGUUUUAGUUGUGCUGACUUUCUGACAAGACUCUCUACACGCACCGUUUUGAAAAGGUGGUGGUUUAAGCACUCCAUAUACAUUUCUCUAUUCCUAGUAUCACCUUGUAUCCUACUCCUGGUGCUUCAUGGGAUGUUCCUCGUCUUUUCUUUUUCUUUCUCUCUACAUUUUUACCUACCAAGAUAAGGUCUUAACAUGCAUAUUUUUAGUUCGCUGUAAGACGGAGCAACUAAAAAGGAGCAAAAAAUCAUAUACGACAAGGAGUUCCAGUGGUUUUGAUAUAUUAAGUCACCAUUUCUGAUGGAAGUGGGCAGUGAAUAAUAAUGGGGAAAAUGUGAUGGAAAGAGUAGCAUAUAUUGCUUCUAUAAAGUUUUAGCCAAUUGUAAUUAAGUACAUUUAAUUAAUCAAUCUUAAUCGGAUUGAUUCAAUCCCCUCAUGUGGAUAGCAUAAAAUUGGAACAACUAGAAGGAGAUGAGUGCCCUUGCGCGUUGGCAUGGUAUUAGAGGGUUCAGCCACACUGCACUUUCAUGGUUAUACUCGAAGAUUAUUUUAUGAAAUUGUGUUCAAUAUAUUGAUUUACUAAUUGAAAUGAAUUAUCAUGAAAAUAAUCUAAUCCAAUAAGAAUUUAAAACAUUUUUUAAAUUGAAAUAUAUUGAGAAUUCAUAAUUAAGAAAAUAUGAUGUGAACCUUAAACAAAUUUAAUGUUGCUUUGGUUUUUAAUGCUUUAUUUUCCAAAAAAAUGGAAGCAUAUUAACUCAACCCAGCUGCAUUCAACCCAAUAUUUAAACAGAUUUAGGCAAUCAUUUUUAAGAAUCAAUUUGGGAGAUAAGUUUUUUUAAUCCAACCUCAAUUUGGGCUGAACUCAAAUCUAGGUUUGGACAACCCAAUAUUGAACCAAAUUUAAUAUUUCUAUAAUAUUUAUAAUAUGUAUUAUUUUAUAUAAUAAUAUUAUCUCUUUUUUUUAGAUUUUUUUUUUAAAAAAAUCAAAUGAUAAUUUUUUAUUUUAAAAAAAAAAGAUAUAUAACUUUUUAUUUUGUUGUUAUCUUAAAAUUUUGUCUCAUAAAAAAUUCUAAAAAAUAAUGUAAAUUAAUUUUGAAUUAUACAAUUUAAUCACUGACUAAUUAAUUAAAUAUAUUGAAUUCAAUUUGAGAUUAAAAAAAUAAGGUUGUGUUGUCCUAUAUAUUAAACAUAUAUAUGAGAUGAUAAUUUUAUAAUUAAUUAUUAUACUAUAUUUGGCUUUAGGAAAAUAUUAUGGAAAAAAAUUAAAGAAAAUGGUUUUUUCAUAUAUUUAUUUUAUUAUGAAAAACAUCAAAGAAAAUUAGUUAGAAAUUUAUGAAUUUUUAAAUCAUUUAACAUUUAUAUAGCAUUAAAAUAAAUUAAAUGAAUUUGUAACAAUAUAUAAAAAUAAUUUAUUAAAAUUAAUUUUUUAUGUUUUUUUUUUCUUUCCUUCUUUCUUCACCAUUUUCUUCUCCUCUAUUUGUCCUCAUCCCUGCCUCAACAUGACUCGGGUUGUACCUUUGUCUCAUCAUAUUCAUCCAUGCUAAUUUAAAAUUGAUUUAUCUUUAAAAGAACAUAUUUGAAACUUUUAAAUAUGAAAGUAUGAAAAAUUAUUCUAAAUUUUAUUUGUUAUUUCGUUUAGAUUAUUUAUAUACACUAGAAUAAAAAAUAAAAAAAUUUGAAUUUAUUAUUAAAAAAAAAAAAGAUUUGAUGUUCUUAAUUCUCCAACUUAAAAAUCUAAAAAUUAAUCUUAUCAUUUCAAUAUCUAUAUAUAUAAGAUAUCAAUUGUUUCGUUUAGAUUAUUUAUAUACACUAGAAUAAAAUAAAAAAAAUUGAAUUUAUUAUUUAAAAAAAAAAAAGAUUUGAUGUUCUUAAUUCUCCAACUUAAAAAUCUAAAAAUUAAUCUUAACAUUUCAAUAUCUAUAUAUAUAAGAUAUCAAUUGUAUCAAAUUAUCAAUAGUAUCCAAAGAUGAAAUGAUAUAUCCGAUAUAUCACCCCAAAAUUUUGCAUAUUAGCAACCUCCACACUAUAAGUCGGGGACACAUUUCAGUAGCUCGACAUUUCCACAAGAUCUAAAAUCUAUUCCGUUUCAUGUUCUCUAAGUCAUUUUCCAUGGGAAAUGGCUAGUAUUUCUGUUAGUUCGGGCACCAUCCUCAGAGCCAGCAAUUUAGUUCAGGGGGCAACCUUUGAAACAAAUAUGGGCUUUAGCCCAAUCAUCUAGAGUUAUCAGGCUCGAGUCCCAAUGGGCAAGAAGUGUAGCUUUUUAGUUUCAAUAUUUUAUUGGGGGUGGGGGUGGGGUGUGUGGUGUGGAUGUGCCCCUCUAGGCACUACCUGGCUCCGCCAGUGCCCAGAGCUCUUGGUAAAAGGAAGGGCCAACUAUUUGCCCACAAGACAAGAACAAGCCAUAAUACACAUCCAUGGUGCUAUGGAGAUUUACAAUUAUAACACAUUCAUUUAUAAUAAAGUAUUUCAUAGCAAUCUCUUAAAUCAUAAACUAAUUUACUUCUGAACAUUACAUUAGAGAUCAAAUUUUAUCCAAGAUUAUCAACUUGAAGCUGCUUUGAAUAUGCACAAGCAGCUUCCCUGGGUUUUCUGCCCGAGUUUUUAAUCAAAUUCUGGACGCAAACGAGUAACAUUCAUCUUGCUGUUCAUCACUCAGUCUGCUCAUCUUUGUUCUGUUCAUCAUAAGAAUUCAUAAAAAAGAACAUGUUUGAAUCAGAGGCUAUCUGACUGUAAACUGCAAGAAAGAAAAACAAAGCAACUACAAAGAUUUAUUUAUAACAAAAAAAAAAACUGAAAAAAAACAAGUACUCUAACCUAGGCAACAAGAGUUUAAAAACAUACAAUUUCAAAGUUCAUACAUCAAAGAAAUAAAGGUUUGAAGCUCUGUGCAAGUGAAUGCCACGAUUAGAAGCAUUAAGAGCGGUAGAUAGAACAAAGAAAUAAAAAUAGUGGUACUGAGGAUGAUGUACCUCGAAGAGAUUUUUCAAAGUUCUGUAAUUGUAACAUGAAACCAUAAUUAGGAGCUGCGUGUUGCCGCCUACUCUUCACAUGUUCUAGAGCUUGAGAUAGGCUCAUACCAUGCUUUUUCAUCAUAUAAGCAAUCACAAUGGUCACACUGCAUGAAGUAAAACAAAAAAAUCAGAGUUCAAUUAGUUUACAUUAUCUACACUUCACAUGAAAGCAAAAAUUCUAUAGAAUUAGAAAUGUUAAUGGUGAGGAAUAUUAUAAACCUGAAAAAUGAAAGCACUCUAAUGAUUCGGAGAUGAGAGUCUUUUAGAAGAAAAGGGGAAGAAAAUAGAAUUAGUAAAUAUCAAAUUCCAACCUAGAUGAUAUUCAUCCUUUAAAACAACCCUAGUGAUAGUGAUUACCCCAAAAGUUGCAUCUCAUGCAUAUGUAACAUUUCCCCCCCAGUAUUUUUCUCACAUUUCCACAUUGGAUCACCUCUAUUACCACAAGAUCCAUUUCAAUUCUUUUCCUCGCCAUUCACAUCAGAUAACACCUGUGGCAGGAAACAUAACAAGAACGAACAACAGAAAUAAUAUCAAGAAGCAACUUACUUUAAAAUGUCUACAAGUAAUCUUUUGGUCCCAGAAGUAAAUCUGAUAAUUAUAAGAUCAUUUAUGCUGCAUGGAUAUUUCUAGGUGUGAAUAGAGGAAUCAAGCAGCCUGAUACCCAUAGUCUCAUAAAAGUUUGACAUUAGAAUUGAAUCACCACCUCACUACCAAGCAGAGGCUUAUGCCUCGUGCAUACCUCUCAUAACUUGAGGUAGAGUUUAUGCCUCAAAAUCCUUUUUUUCCAAAAUUUAAGCCUCCUCGCUAUAGCCAGUGCCAUUCCCUUUUUAUCGCUCUACAAACCAAGCAAAGAAUAAUUAAGUUUUAAUACAUGAUCUGUCAUAUCAGACCCUUCAACCUAACAACCACACCCAUGGCUAAUAUGACAUAGUCAAGUAGGCAUGGGUAAGGGCAAGGGCAUGGGGUUUCUGCCUGACACUUUAAAUCCAUCCCAUUUUAUGUAAAUGGAUUCUUGCUAGAUUGAUCCUGCAUCUAGCACACCCAAAAUUGAGAAAUCACCUGAAAUACUAAUGAAGUUUUAUUCAUUGGCAAUAGGUAGUGGAGUUUGCAAAUAGAUAACAUUUUUUUCAUGAAAAUCUAUGGUUAACUGUAAGAUAUGAUGUCCCAACAACCCAGUCAGACAGUUGUUGCUAACUCAUUCGAGUGCUACAACAAAAUGAAGGAGUGCAUACAUUACUAGGUCUUCUAACAUAGUCUUCUGUAGGUUUUUCCACUAUCAUCAAUUUUUCAUUGCUAACUUUUCUUGCAAACAUAAGGAAGCAUCUUCUCUUGAAAAUCGUAAGAUAUGGUGGUCAAACAACUCAAUUGAUUAGUUGUAGCCAACUUCAGGCAAGUGUUAUGACAAACAAGCAGCUAAUUUUGUUAUGGCUUCUCCAACCAUGGUUUUUUAUAGGUUUUUCUAUUAUAAAAUAUUUGGCAUUACUGUUGUGUGGAAAACACUCCUCAUCCCCUUCCUGCAUUUGUUCUUCCAGGUUCCUAAUAAGGGUGAAAACAUAAUUUUAGUUACACUUGAACAGGGUUGUCCAACAUCAGAUCAAGCUUAAACAUGAGCCAAGCUCAACCAGUAAAAGCUCAGGCAUUCUAAUAGUGGGCUCAACUGGGUUAAUUUAUACAACUAAUCAAGCAUUAAAAUUCUUGUCCAGGUCUGGUAACAAAUAAAAAUAUGGCCAAGUGUAUGAUUUCCAUUCGCCACUACAAUUUUGGAAAAUUCAGAGGCCUUUGGUUGACUGAUCUAUCUGAAGUUGACAGUAAGCAGUCUCACAAAUUUUCUACAGUAGACAGAAGAACAUGAUCUGUAUGAGGCAAGUAACUUUGAUACAGCUGGAAAAAUCACCUUCUGGAUCUUCCCAAAAAGCAGUGAACCAAGACACCACCACCCAGUCUUUUCGCUUCAUCAAUGAAAUUGAAACAUUCAUCAAAGUGCUGUGCUAUAUUUGUGUCUGCUUUGUCCGUGACUGCCUCAAUCCACAAAGAAUGUAAUAAAGAUAAUUAAGGAUUUAAGAUCAAAUGCUUAAUAUGGCUUAGAACAAUGAUAUUGAUAAAAAACACAGAUUCAAAACAUUCAGAACAUAUAUUGGUAGGAGAAAGAGAAACAUAAUGUCACACUACAAGGGACACCAAAUAAAAAUUAAAAGUAAUAAAGUGGAAUUGGAACUUCUUCAAGAAAUUAUAACAUUAAUAUAGUGCUUGAAUACACAAAAAAAGGAUGGUUCAUGAUUCUGCAGAUUCAUUUACAUUUCUUGCUAGUAUGCACUGCACUAAAUGAUUAAUUCUUUGUAUUGUAGGCACAUAGAUCCUUCCUGAUUCCAUUAGGUAUUCUAUUGCUAACAUCCAUUGGGAUUUGCAUCAACAACAUGAUAUACUUCACUAAAGCUCACAAUAGUAUGCAAAAUCAUUACAAAUUUGAAACCAUCAUUUCAGCUAAGACAAAACAAUAGCUUAGAUGCAGGAAGCUGAUUGCAGAUUCCUAAAAAGAAUCUGCUUGAAGAACAAUAGAUAGGAGACAAGGAUUACCCCAAAAGACAUGCCAAACAAAAUUCAAAAACCUAACAUAAAUGCAGUUUCAAAGGAAAAAACUAUUCACCCAAGCAAAGAAAGAACUUUGUUACCUUCAAUGACUUUAUAUGUGAAAUCAUUUGGAUGUGCGGGAUCCAACGUAUUAGCCACAGUUAAAAUGUGAGUGAUAUUCAAGCUUUUCAAUUCACUCUUAUUCGAAGCAGCUCCAACAGAACCCAGGAAGAGACCCUAAGAAAUCAAGAAAAAUGAUACAAAACAAAGUCAGUCUCUAGAACCAGCCUAACCACAUAUAACAUAAAUUAAGAAACCAAAACUCAAUUACUUCAUCGAUUUGGCAUGGAACAUUGUCCACUUUAAAGCAUCUUGUUAACAGCAUAACUCGUUGAAUUGCUGCUACCUGCUCCCUAAACCGUUCAUCAAUACGAUCCAUUGGCAAUAAAGAAACCUUUUCUACUUCUAUAUAUACUUUUCCACUUCAAAAUAAGCACAAAACUGCUGAUCACUGCACUUUUCUUGAAUGGUUAAAAUUUCCCCAAUUUGAACAUCAAUAUCAGGUGGCCACAGUUGAGCACAACCGGUCUGUAGAUGCAUCCAAACAUAAUUUGAAAAACAAUAUUAGAAUCGGAGAACAGAGAGGGUCUAAGAUUCCUUCCCUCUUGGGAAAUGUUAAGAGUAUAAUUUCAGUAUUAAAUUACAUGAAUCAACCCACCAAAAUAAGACAAAACCCAUUUGAAGAACCGCCAGUAAUACCAUCAAACUCUCAAAAAUCUAUCGGGAAGAAGAAAAAAAAACUACUGAAAGCAUUGAGCUCUGGGCAUGUUACUUGAACCCAUUAUCCAAAAUGUAAAAUUUUUUUCCUAAAGUUUGCAACUGAUCCAAAUCCAAUUCUUGAUCAAUCUCUAAAAAAGAAAAAAAAAAAAAAGAAAAAGAAAAAAAAAAGGCGGUUUUCAUAGCCAUAAACGAUGAAGAAAGCAACAGCAUGGAAGGAAAGUUACUCCUCAAAUUUCAUGAGAAGGAAGGAUUGGAACUUUUGACGCAGAGGCGACCUUGAAGGCUGCGGAUAGCCGGUAUAGAAUUUGCCUGCGAUCACCGCCGGAUGGCCGGAGAGAUGGGAGAUGAUUUGGGAGAAUCGUUCUUUUUCUUCCAACUAUAUGCGGGGAGACAGAUUAGACUGAACCGUUGGAUUGGUAUCGAGUGGAAAGUCCGAGAAAUAUGAUUUUGUCUCAAUAUUUUGAAUCCAUUCCAUCGUAUUUAUUUAUUAUUUUAUUAAUAAGAGACAAUUGUGUUUUUAACCCAUUUGGGCCAAAAAUUAAGAUUUGACCCAUAAAAUUUAUAUAAUUAAUGAAAAUGAUAUAAAAUAUGAAAAAACUAAUAUACAUUUCAAAACUAUUUUAUAAUUUUUUUUAAUAAUUAUUCUGAAAAUUUAUUAUUUUUAGAAAACUAAUUUUUUUUAAAUAUAUAUUCUAAAAAUAUAUCAUUUAAAAUUUUUUUUUACAUAUUUUUAGUUAUUUUUUAUAUACACAAUUUUAAAAAUAUAUAUUUUUCAAGAUGUUUGAUUUUUAAAUAAUAAUAAUAAUAUUUUAUUUUUAUUUUUUUGGAAAAAUGGUGUAUUUUUUUCCAAAUCACUAAAUUAAAUUAAAAUUUAUUGAGGUUUACAAAAAAAAAAUUUAAAUUAAUAUUUUUCUAUUUUUUUUUUCAUAGUCAAUAAAGGUCAUUUUUGAAAAGAUAAAAAAUCCAUAUCCUUCUUCUCAAUUUUCACACUUCCUCUAAGUCUUAGGCUUAAAUAGUAAACUUAUAUGGACUAAAACUUAAUUUUUAGAACCAACUAGAUUCAAAACACAAUUGUCUCUAUUACUUAUUAAGAUAUGGUUGUUUUUUUCUUUAAAUUUAAAAAGAAAAUUUUUUUUUCUUAAUACCCAAGUUAAUCUGAAGACUGAAUAGUGAUCAGAUUAAUUUCCGAAAUUUUAUAAAAUGAUUUGAAAUUAAUCCACAUUGAACUAGAGUAUUAAUGUGAUAAGUCAACUUCGGAUUGAUCGUAGAUAUGAGGAAAGAGAAUUGGGCCUCUAGCUACACAUUGGGCUGGCCCAGCCAGAGCUCCUUUCAAGUUUCGCCCCAGCAAAGCAUUGGUCCCACAAUGUUCCCUUAUACCCUUUUGACAUUGACAAUAAGAAACACUUCUAGCUUUUUUUAAUAAUUAAAAAAUUUUAUCAUCCAAAUUUAACAAGUUGCCCUCUUCACAACUAGCUAGUAUAAAUUAAUUGAAAUCCACCUUAUCUGAAAUGCCUACAUCCCACCAAGUCUUCCUCUUAUCCCUUAUCUUUGCAUUGGCCGGCACAAAUUUCUUAGUGUGCGAAACAAAUUGGGAUUAAAGAAAUUAAAGAAAGAAACUGCAACAUUUAAAGGGCUCUCUAAUUUUUCUAUUUUCUCAGGAAUGUGUCUGGUGACACCACAUACCAUAUCAUCCUCAUGCCUAUUGCCACUGCUUAAAGCUAAACUAGGACUCGCUCACUAUCCUAGGUCCAAUUGCUAAGUAAUGGAGAAGUAGAUUUUUUUUACUAUUUUAUGCGUUAAAAAAGAGAAGAUAAAAAAACAAAUUAAAAAUCUUGAUAUAUAAGGUAAGAUAGGACAAGAUAAUGUAAUAUUUGAAUGCAUCUCAAAUUUUAAAAAACUCUCAAAUUCACUUGCUCCUUCUUAUAUAAAUAUUAUCCGGUAUGAAUUCAAUAAGUUUUAAUAACUUUAAAUAUAUAUUGUUCAAAAAAUUUCUCAUUCUAAUUGAUGUAAGAUAUUAUAAUCGCAUUUUUUUUUUAUACAAACUAUAUAUCUUCAUUAUGUCUUAUAAGAUUUUAGGACCAAUUAGACACGGCUUACAGGUUACACGAUCUCACAUUAGUCCUUCCCAUUUAAAUAUUAUCUUAUAAAAAUACAUAUUUCCAAUGUGGGGACACACAACUAAAGUCUAAUAUCUCUCUUUCAUAUGGGUAUCAUUCAUCACAUAAACAAACACUCAUUAAUAUGAUAAAUAUUGUCAAUUCUAAAUUCAACUUAUGGUUGCGAUUUUAAAAAAAUCUACUAAUUAAAAAAUUUCACUCUAUACACAGUAUCAGAGACAUCUCCUCCUAAUAAAGGAGAGAUAUCACAAAGUCCCUCCUUGUCCACCAUGGUUAAUUCACUUGCAACUCAAAGUCAUUUAAGAGUUUAAGACAAAUGAGCAAAACCUAGCCGAUAUGAGUCCGGAUAACGACAACAGCUUGCUAACAUUACUAUUGCAAUCUUUAUGAUUGAAGACUGUAAUGCCUGUGGACAUGCCAAGUAAUCGGUGGAUUGCCACCCUGAAUAAGUCCAGGGAAGAGAGAGAGUUAAUACCUCCAUGAGCCAGUUGUCAUUGAUAGAAACUUGGAGAGAAUCACUCAUACGGUCAUACCACAUAACAAAAGGUGAAGAUGAUAUCGACACUCGGAAUUACUGUAUAAGGGUCUAAUGCCCGUUAAAAAAUUCAGUUGAACCACGCACAUCACAUGGCAUAAAAGGUACAAAAUAUGGAUAUGGGUGUGUAAGGUAGGCACUAGAGAAUAAUUAAAUCUAAUCAGCAAAAGGUCAGCAAUCCUAGGGUCUUAUCCACAUUUCAAACUUACGCAACCCGCGGCGUCUCACCGCUACACCCCUUAUAAUAAGGGUCCACUGACUCCACUCGCUGCAGUCCUUUACCAAUUCCAACCCCAUCUCUCUCCCUUUUUCUUCUCCAUGGCUCUGCCUCUCAAACCCCUUUUCUUCUUCUCCUUCGUUUCUCUCGUCUCGGGCUCUUAUUCUCUGCUCCUUCCUGUCACCAAAGAUGCUGCCACACUCCAGUACGUGACCCAGAUUCAUCACGGCACUCCACUUGUUCCCAUCAAGCUUGUGCUCGACCUCGGGGCUCCCUUUUUAUGGCUUGAUUGCAGUUCAGGCCAUGUCUCAUCCUCUAAUACCCCAAUCCUGUGUGGUUCGAUUCAAUGCUUAACUGCAAAGACCAGUGAUUCUGGGCAUGGGGGUGGAACCUCCACAUGUCGUCUCUCCCCGAAAAACACCAUCACAGGACUGGCCGAAGCAGGAGAGCUAGCAGAGGACAUGGUAGCUGUGGAGGGGUCAGAGAUGGGUUCUCGCUUCCUUUUCUCUUGUGCCCCCAAGCCCCUCUUAAAAGGCCUGGCAAGUGGCACCGUCGGAAUGUUGGGCCUCGGGAGGACUAGAAUUGCACUGCCGUCACAGCUCGCCGCAUCGGUCGGCCUCCACCGGAAAUUCGCAGUCUGUCUUUCAUCAUCCGAAGGCACCGUAUUUUUGGAGAACGAAAUUGCCGGAACAGACGUCUCAAAGUCGCUCAUGUACACGCCCCUCCUCCCGGGUCAGGAUCCCAAUUCCGAAGGCUAUUUCAUCAGUGUGAAAUCAAUCAGGAUAAACGGCAGGGGAGUCUCUCUUGGGACAAUCACCGGAGGGACUAGGCUAAGCACAGUGGUUCCUUAUACAACCAUGAAGAGAUCAGUCUACGACAUAUUUACUAAGGCUUACAUCAAGGCUGCUGCUUCCAUGAACAUAACCAGGGUGGAAUCCAUGGCACCUUUCGGGGUCUGCUUCAGGUCCGAAUCCUCCGAGCCCGCUGUGCCCACCAUUGAUCUUGUGCUUCAGAGUGAGAUGGUGAAGUGGAGGAUACUGGGGAGGAAUUCCAUGGUGCGGGUAAGCGAUAAAGUUAUGUGCUUGGGAUUCUUGGAUGGAGGUGUUGACCCAGGUACAGCAAUCGUAAUAGGGGGUCAUCAACUGGAGGACAAUCUUCUAGAGUUUGAUCUCAGUACUUCUAUGCUGGGUUUUAGUUCAUCACUGUCCACUAGGGAAAGUAGCUGUUCUGAACUGAAAUUGAAUUCCAUAUUUAAAGGGUCUCUGUAAAUUUGUAAGUCCAGAGCCUGAUAGAGGGAGAGAAGAAAUUUAAAGAUAGAUUUCUCCAUUUAUUUAUUUUUAAAUGAGACGUUAAAUUGACGCGUCAUUUUCUAUUUGAUGGUGCCAAGGCUUUACGUGGCUGGCCGUGACUUAAAAAUAUGCUUUUAACUCGUUGGCCAAAAAAGGAAUAUGCUUCCACCUUUUUCUGUCGUUUGUGGAGCGUCAUAUUCAUCUAAUACCGACCAUCGGAGCUCCUUCUAUGUGCCUGGGAAAAGACAGAAUCCACCUUACAAAUCUUAUCCAUCUGUGCACACUGAUUUGGAUUUCAUUAGCUAUUGACCUUUCCAGUCUUUUUUUAACCAAAAAUCUAAUAUAUAAAAGUAAGAAUGGUGUUUACACAUUUUUUUUAAAUAUAAAUAAUUAAUUAGGUAAUAAACAUAUAUAAAUUUUUAUAUUUUAUAAAUGAUAAGCCAUCGAUAUCAUUUAAUAAAAUAAUUAAUAAAUAACAUUAGCUAUAAGAGAGUUUUAUAUUUUAUUAAAAGUUUAUAAAUAAAUCCAAAAAAUAUUAGUUAAAAAGAAAUAAAAUAUUUGUGGUUGUUACAUUUGAUUGUCCACAAAAUAUAUAUAUAUUUUAAGAUAUUAUAUUCUAUUUGAUAUAAUGUCACGAUAUUUAAGGUAUUAUAUCAAAUGGAAAAUGUAAGUCAUAUUGAUAUUUAGUUUGUAAAAUGAAUAAAGAAUAAUAAAAUAAAAUAUAUGUUAUUUUUUAAUAUUUGAUAUUAUUUAAAAUAAAAAUUAUAUUGUAUUUCAUUAUUUUUUAUUAAAUAAAAAGAAUUUUUUUUUAAAUUUCUCUUUUUAUAACCAUAAAUGAAAUUUUUAAUCAAAUUUUAUUAUUCUAAAAAAUACAUAUAUAUAUAACAUGUUCCAUUACUUAUCAUAUCUCAUAUUUAAUUCAACAUAUGAUAAGUAAAUAAUGGAUAACUUAUUCUUUCCUAUUACGGACCAAAUAUGAGAUAUGAUAUAUUAUAUUUUUUUCUUAUUCUAUCUUAUAUAAUAUCAUGUAAACCACACAUGAUAUUAAUUUUUAGAUUCAAAUAUUUAAAUUAUCAUUUUAUUUAUGUAUAAUAUAAAAGUGUAUUUUUUUUUUUUUGUUCAUAUAAAAAGACAUCAUCAAUCAAAUGAUACCAUAUCUAUAUCUUAUGUUAUAUUAUUUGCACCAUAGUUUCAUUUAUCCUUGCUUAGUACCUUCAUCACAUAGUAUCCUCGUUCAACAUCCUAAAUCUCGUCAAACAUAUUAAACGGUCCGGAUGUUUUGUUUCCCAAGUACUACUAAGAUAGCUAGGCAUUUUCUUAUGUACAUUUAAUUGUCUCACUUGCAUUCACGUGACCAUUUAUUAUUAACUAUAAAAAGAAUAGUGCAGCCCACCAUCAAAUAAUUCAUGCCUAUUUAAUGUUUAUAUGUCUGUAAUAGUAGGUUAUAAACCACCUCCUCUGAUAAUGAUUUGAAAGUCAAAGUCAAAAACUUCAACGGCUUUACUGAAGGCAGCCCCAGGUCACCAAGUCGCCAUCCUUGACUUAGCAUUAUCCAUAAGCAAUCGAUGAGCCGUAUAAAUACCUGCUGGACUUUCCACUUUUACUCACACUUCCAACUCUUCUUCUUCCUCCAUCAUUCAAUAUGGCUUCCACGUUUCUUCAUCUCCUCCUCUGCUCCAUUCUUCUCUCAGUCUUCUCUCCAUCCCUAGCCCAGACAUCUUUUCGUCCUAAAGCUCUCGUUCUUCCAGUCUCCAAAGAUGCUGCCUCCCUUCAGUACAUCACCCACAUCAACCAGAGAACCCAUCUCGUCUCCAUACCUCUCACCCUCGAUCUUGGCGGCCAGUUUCUAUGGGUGGACUGCGACCAGGGCUAUGUUUCAUCUUCCUACAGGCCGGUCCGUUGCGGGUCGGCCCAAUGCUCCCUUACCAGGUCUAAAGCUUGUGGAGAGUGUUUCUCUGGGCCAGUAAAGGGAUGCAACUACAGCACCUGUGUUCUGUCCCCUGACAAUACCGUAACUGGGACUGCAACAAGCGGUGAGGUGGGCGAAGAUGCUGUAUCCAUCCAAUCCACUGAUGGGUCAAACCCGGGCCGCGUUGUUUCAGUCCGUCGAUUGCUUUUCACUUGUGGAUCGACAUUUCUGUUGGAAGGCCUUGCCAGUAGGGUCAAAGGAAUGGCCGGUCUUGGAAGGAGUCGGGUUGCACUCCCUUCACAAUUCUCAUCUGCCUUCAGCUUUAAUAGGAAAUUCUCGAUUUGCCUGAGUUCUUCCACAAAGUCUACUGGUGUCGUGUUCUUUGGGGAUGGGCCUUAUGUUCUGCUGCCUAAAGUUGAUGCCUCCCAAUCCCUCACCUACACCCCACUGAUUACUAAUCCUGUAAGCACUGCAUCGGCUUAUUUUCAGGGCGAGGCUUCUGUGGAGUACUUCAUUGGAGUAAAGUCCAUUAAGAUAAACGGAAAAGCGGUGCCGUUAAAUGCAACAUUGUUAUCCAUUGACAGCCAAGGCUACGGAGGAACCAAGAUCAGCACAGUCCAUCCUUACACGGUCUUGGAGACUUCAAUCUACAAAGCUGUCACCCAAGCCUUCCUCAAAGAACUUUCAACCAUCACCAGAGUGGCUUCAGUGUCUCCUUUCGGGGCAUGCUUCAGCUCAAAGGACAUCGGUAGCACACGCGUCGGUCCGGCUGUGCCGCCCAUUGACCUCGUGUUGCAGAGACAGAGCGUGUACUGGAGGGUGUUUGGCGCAAACUCGAUGGUUCAGGUGAGUGACAAUGUGUUGUGUCUGGGAUUUGUGGAUGGAGGUGUGAACCCCAGGACUUCAAUCGUGAUAGGGGGGCGUCAACUGGAGGACAAUCUUUUACAGUUUGAUUUGGCCACUUCAAGGCUGGGCUUCAGCUCAUCGCUUCUGUCCCGGCAGACCACCUGUUCUAACUUCAACUUCACAUCUAAUGCUUGAAGGGUUUCAACACCUUUACCAUACAACUACGUACGGAGAAGUGAUGAUCGUAUUAUUCAAAUUAUUGUUUAUGCAUCUUCCUACUUUUCUGGACUAAUAAAUGGCCAUGUUUGCUACUUUCCAAGUAAUAGCCUAAUAAAAUGUGAAGAGUGUUGAUUCUUUGAAGUCUCUUUACUCAAAUGAUGAAAUAGUAUAUAUGCAUUACUAUUCUAAAAAGCACUUCCAACUACUUGGACCAUUUUGGGCAAAAAUAGUCAUCCUUUUCAACUACUUGGGUUCUUGCGAGUGCUCAAGUCAAGUUGCUAAUUUCGUGUCAAAAUUUCCUAUGUUUGUUUUUGUUGUAGUAUGUGGCUCAUAUUUGAGCGAAAAGACAUACGAAGAAAAAUGGGCAAAAUGCCAAAGCGAAGCGGAGCGAUGACAUUUGUCAUUUAGGCUUGUACUUCUUUUGUUGUCGGGUGAACAAUAGGUUGCGGGGGUACGAGGGGCAACCCCCUCGGGUACGGUUCAAUAAUAUUUUUGAAAUUUCAUUUCUAAUGAUUAAUAUAAAUACCCUUUUUAUGUAUCCCUAAUUUUAACAUAGUGAAAAUCCUCUUUUCCUGUUCCCAUGGACGUAGGCAAUUAGGUGAACCACGUUAAAUCUCUAUGUUCUUCUUUCUCGUUUUUCUAUUUUUUUUUGUCAUUAAUCGUUGCAUGGAUUCCAAUAAUUUUCAAUUCAAGUCUUUCGAAUUCUCCCCUCUUAGACUAGAUGUUUAAAGUACUUAGAAGGCAAAUAUAAGUGAUUGAGGUCUUUUCAAUUUAAUGAGUAUUUUAAUUAUUUGUUUAUAUUUUUUUCCCUUUUUUUUUUGGUGCAUAAGAAGCAUUGAGAGUUUUUAGUGGGGUUUUUUUUACUAAGUUUUUUUAGUCUAUUUAAUGAUUGAUCCAACCUUAAGUAUGAUAGAUCCAUCUUUAAAAUUGUAUGAAAUUUCGAGUGUUGGAUUGAGUGCUCUUCUUAUUACUUAAACCCAAAUUAUCAUUUUAGGGUUUAGAAAAACUUGAUAGUUGUCAUACCUCGUCCCAUUGUGCUCCUUGGUCAUUCCAAUUUGGAAGUGUUUGUUGCCUUGGAGAAUCUAUCAUGUUUUAAGCUAUAUAUGAAACUAUUUUUAUUAAAUUUUGUCACAAAAUGUGAAUUGAUUCAUUUGGUUCUUCUAUCCAAUCUCUCAUUGUCGUUAUUAAAUUGGGGUAAGACAUUAUUUAUUUAUUUUAUUGAACUUCAAGAAAUGAUUGAAAUUGAGUUUGAUGUUGACUUCAAGUGUGAUUUAGAAGAAGGUAUGUAAUUGAAGUUAGAAUGUGUUAGUCAAGUAGUCUAAGAGUGGAUUGGUGGACAUUUUUUAUUGCUUGCAAGCUCAUAAUGCCUUUUUUUUGGUUUUUUAUUUUUUUUUGUCUCUUCGGAGAUUUUCUAUGUUAAAUCUUUGAGUUAGUGAAUGAGCUAGAAUUUGUAUUAGUGUUUAUGAAAUUUACAAUGUUUUAAUGAGUUGUUGGUUGAGGGAAUGAGCUGAAAUUUAAUCAUUUAAGCCUUGGAAAUUUUAAUAUAAUUUUUUCCAUUGUGGAGUUAAUUAGUGGAUAUUUGGACAUGUGAUUUGAGAUGUCGAAAGCUUAUGCAAAUCUUGAUUGUGGAGCAUUAUUUCAUUUGCAUAUGAAUUUCAUUGAUUAAAUUAUUAUUCAAAAGAUUGAAAAAGAAAAAUAAGAAAAAUUUUAGGGAGUGAUAACCUUUCUUUGCAAACCAUCUCAAAUUUAUAAAAACAAUAGAGAUAGAACUUUUAAAAGCAUGAUAUGGUGUAAUAAAAUAAAAUAAAAUUUUAUUAAUAUAUUAAUAUAUUCUGAUUUCACUUUCCACAAUUCUAUCUAUGUUUGCAUUAAUAUUUACGUAAAUAUUCAGUUCAUCAUCAUUUGCAUUAUACAUGACUUUUCCUUCCUUCCUUACUCAUUAGUACUUUUACCAGUGUUGUAUUGUCUUGUCCCUCCUACUCCAUGGUGUACUUGUGCAAGACAUAAAAAUACAUUUUUCCCCUGUGUUGUACCCCUUCCAAACCGAUGAUGCAGGAUUGCAAGCAUAAGACUGUUUGGUUUCGAAAAAUCUAAAGGAAAAUACAAAAGAAAGAAAAUGGAGAGGAAAAACAAAAUAAAAGAAAAAAAAUGAAAAAAAACAUAGAUGUAAAAUCAAUAAAUUAUUUUUGUAUAUUACUUCAAACUCAUUUAACUUAAUUUAAUUUAUUUAAGUUUCUAAUUAAUUUUAAUUAUAUUUGAUUUUUUUUCAUAUCUUUCAUAAUAAAACCAAAUAUAAGAAAAUCAUUUUUUUCAUUUUGUAACAUUUUUUUUAUUUGUUAGUACUUUUUGAGAACUAAACAUAACCUAAAAUGUUUCUCAACAAAUUCAUGUUGUUCGACCAAUUUCUUGUAACAUGUUCAUGUUGAUCAAAAAAAAAAAAAAAUACUCAACUUUGAUGAUGUUCAUGUUGAUCAAAAUUGAAACAAAUACUCAACUUUGAUCAUCAAAAAGUGAUUUUAUUCACGUAAUUUAUCAUGAAAACUAAUCAUAAGACUAAACGUUCUACAAAAGGAGCACAUAAAAGUUACAAAAAGACAAUUUUAAAAUACAUUGUUUAAGGCUUUUUGAAAGCAAAUCUUCAAUCAUCUUUAUAAAGCCUUAUUUUGAUUAAAACAAACAAUAUCAGGGGAUCAAUAUGAUUAUCCCUAACAAAUAGUCAUCCUCCAAGUGUUGGAUCAAAAGGCUUGAAUAAAUUUUAUUGUGCUUUGCAGGGGAUUUUGAGGGUCAUGCUCCGCGUUGAGCUCAUGAGGAUCUAGGAUACCCUAUUGUAUUUUAGCCCUCUUAUGUAUCUUAAUAGAAAGUUUUCUUAUUAUAUUUUAACUCUCUUAUGGUUUAAGGUUUUGUUUUAGGGACAAAUUAAAAUGUUUGGUCACAAUAGAAAGAAGAGCGAGAGUCUUUAUCCUUGUAAUUUUCUUAUUCAUUUGAUUAAUAAAUUCUUGAGUGUUGGUGUACUUCGUGAACAUAAGGAUCAUAUUAAUUACCAAACCAUUUUAAAAAAAAUUUGUCUUUUAUUUAUUUUUGUUGGUGUGUGGUUUGCUUAACACCAAGUUGGCUUAUAUUAAUUGGUGAUUAAAUUAAUCAUGAUUUUCAUUUAGUUAAAUCUGCAAUAAGGAAAAUCCCAUGAUGAUAGCCCUAUCACCACCCACGAAUAUUUCUACUUUAACAUACAUAGGUUUACAAGGGAAAAAGAAAAAUAAGAAGAAAGGGAAUCACAACAUUAGUCAUUAAUUUCUCUAUCACUUCAACUUGCUCAACUGUCUAAUGAUUACAUAUCUUGCUCACCAAGAUAUUUUUAUCCUAUAUUCCAAUUCAAAUUAUCAGAUAAGAUAGCCUACGUCUACGCAUAUAUACCUCCAUCCCUACUGAUAACUUGCGUGUGGAUAUAUAAAUAAAAAAAUAUGUAUAGAAAUAUAAAACAUAUAGCUUUGCAAAAAAUCCGUAGAGGCUUUCAACAAUUCUCCAUUCAUUUCUUGUCAUUCCCAGUACUGCUGCCUGAUUUUGAAUGCUCCCUGAAGAAGCUAACAUUCUUGUAGGAAAAUAUUGGACAGUUCAUUCCACCAUUUUUUGAGUAUAGAGAUGCAUCUACAUUUUUUGUAGUUUUCUUUUAUAGGCCAAGAGAGAGUCCCUUAAGGAGGAGAAAACUCCCUUUUAUAACCACUUUUCCUUGUGAAUGAGCAUAAGUAAGUGAUUUUCGUAGUAGGUCAACAAACUUUUUGCAAGGAUAAGGAUAGUUGGACUCGUCUUUUUAUACACAAGUUAGUCGUCUUUUUUUAUGGUUCUGGGUUUGGGAUGAGAUGAUUUUAUGCGUUUUCAGGUACUUUGUUUGGGAGGUGGUAUAUUAAAGAUAUGCUGAUUUUUGAGCACCUCUACUCCCAAUCUCUCACAUUCACCCCACUCCCUAUAUGUACAUUAAUUAGGAAAUAUAGCACAAAAUACGAAGAAUAUGAAAAGGGAACAAAUAAAUUUAUGAACAGUGACCCACAAGAUGGUGAAAAAUAGAGGUAGCCUAGGUAGAAAGGUUGCCAAAAUGUUGAACCGUUGGAAAAAAGAAAAUACAAAUAUGGUACUUACCUCUAAAAUGGAACACCUAAGAAGCAUGAGUCACUUUUCCCCCCUUUGGGUGUAACACAAGCAUUGUGUGUUGAAUUACUUGAAUUGUAACCGCACCUCAAUUACCUCUUCAGCUUCAAUUCCUCAGAGCCCAAACUGUGUGACCAACAAACUAAUCCCCCCACGUCCAUACCUGCAUUUCUUGAUCAAUUUCCCUCCCAUGGCAUGCAAGAAACAAUCCAGCUUUUCUAUAUAUCAUAAAUUCACUACACAUCUUUAUAAAGACACCUGCCAGACCACUAAAGUUCUGAGAAUUUGAUCAUGAAAAGUCUGUUUGAAAAGCAACUAUCUCCCGGUACUUCCAACAAUUCAUCAAGUAGUGGGCAAUCUAGAGAUGAUCAAGAGCUGGGCUCUCAUGCAGUACCCAAGAAUGGAGAUCAUGUUCGCAAGAAAAACUCAUGGUUUUGCUGUUCUCCACCUGAUCACAUGGAUCUGAACCCUGCUCGAAUGGUAAGUUAGGAGGUUAAAACAUUCCAAGAAGCUAGUCUCUCAUGAAACUCACUAUGUGAUACAUUUUCAUUGGGUCUUAGCCAUUUGAGUUUAACAAAUAUGCAGAUUUUAGCAGAGAUGGUGGGGACUUUCAUUCUGGUUUUCUGUGUAUAUGGGAUUGAAGCAGUUACCCAGCUAAUGAAAGGCGAAGUGGGUCUCUUGGAGUAUGCAGUCACUGGAGGGUUGACAGUAGUAGUGUUGGUUUUCUCCAUUGGGUCCAUCUCCGGAGCACAUGUAAACCCUUCUGUCACCAUAACCUUUGCUACCCUUUGCCAAUUCCCAUGGUCCAAGGUAGUAGUAGUAGUCAACAACUUCACCUCCUAAUCAAUUUGAAUGUUUAUUGAGAUCCAAUGUUGAAGUUGUUCCUAAUUACUUGUCCCAAAGGUUCCAUACUACAUAUCGGCACAAAUAGUAGGUUCGGUGCUGGCAACGUACGUGGGAAGGUCUAUCUAUGGCAUAAAACCAGAACUUAUCACUACCAAGCCGCUGCAAGGCUGCAGUUCUGCCUUCUGGGUCGAGUUCAUCGCCACAUUCAUCAUCAUGUUCCUAGCUGUAUCUUUGACAAGCCAACCUCAAUCUGUAAGAAAAGAAUAAAAGAAUAAAUAAAUAAAAAACAAGAAGCCAUUUUUGGGUAAUCUUUAUGCUUCAUUUGAUUAUUGAGAAACUGCAGGUAAGCCACUUGUCUGGUUUCGUCGUUGGAAUAGCCAUUGGACUUGCAGUGCUAAUCACAGGGUAUACAUAUAUAUACAAACUCAAUAUUACUGUACUAUGUCUCUACCAUUUUAAUCACAGUUUGUGUUGGUUUCUUUGGUAUUUCCAUUACAGGCCUGUUUCAGGAGGAUCAAUGAAUCCAGCAAGGUCCUUGGGACCUGCAAUUGUUUCGUGGAAAUUUGACGACAUAUGGAUUUAUACAAUCGCCCCAACUCUUGGAGCUGUGGCAGGAGGUCACCUGUUUCAUCUGUUACGUCUCCGGCACCAGCCUUGCACCCCCAAUUCCUCUCCCAACACCAUUCUACUAAGCAACGCCUUCCAGUAGGCUUUGGUGGAACUGAGUGUAGAAGAAGGUAGCAGGAAGAGGAUGCUGCUGCUGCAUUUUUCUAUUAAUUUAUCUGGUGUUUGAGAAUAUUUAGUGUAAAUUUAAUAUGGCUUUUUGCCUCGACUUAUCUAUACUGCUUAUUUUACUAUUUUUGAUAAAAAAAAAAAUUAAAAAUGGAACUUCAACUUUCCUAUGUUGUACACUCAAUUACUUAAUUUAUGAUUUAAGUGUUAGAUCAUCCAUUCAAACUUAUUUUUUACAUGUUGGAUUUGAAUGAAUAAAAACUUAUUUUUUACAUGUUGGAUUUGAAUGAAUAAAAAAAGCGGAAAAUAGAAAUAAAUGUCAUAUUUGAUAACUGUUUUCAAAAAUAUAUUUUUGUUCUCCUAGAUAUAAAAAUAAAAAAAUAUGUUUGAUAAUUAGAAAAUAAAAAACAAAGCAUUUUUAAAUAAUAUCUUUUAAUUAUUUUUUAAUUCUUAUUUUAAAAAUAUAGAAAAUGUGUUAAAAAUAUUUUAGAUUCUUAAACAAAUUUUUGUUCUAAAAACAACUUUUAAAAAUACUUCCUAAAUAGAGCCAAAUUCUCAUUUUAUCUUAAUAUUUAAUAGGGAUUAUAAAUCAUGCAAUAAUCUCAUUCCCUUAAAAAUGACGAUUUAAGAAACAAUUUCAAAAUGGAUAUAUUAUGAAUUAAUUAAUUACCGUCAUAAGUUUCAAGAUGAUUAAGCCACAAGAUUAAGUAUUAAUCAUAUAAAAAAGUUUAAAUGGACAUCAAUAAAAACUAAUUAAUUGUUAGAUGGAUGGCUAUAGCUUUCGGGUUGAGAGACAAAUCCUAGGUUUAACUCAUUGGAGCACGUCUGUUGGGGAAGGAAUUGUUAAACAUAUAUAUGACACAUGCUCCAUGACAACUCGAGAAAUAGCUUAAUUUAAGUUAAUAAUUUCGUUCCAUUCUUCUUAACUUAGACGACUUUCUAUAUUAUUAUAUCUUACUCUCUAUUGAAGAUUUAAGUUUAUUGUGUAAUUAAUUGGAAUGAUACAAGUAAAUAUAGAGAACUUCGAGAAAGUCUAAUUGGGAUCAAUUAUGGCAUGAAUUGGAUGUUAAAUUUUUAAUUAAGCUAAAACUCUCUUAAAAUUGGUUUUAAAACUUUGUGUGAGUGCACAAGUGAUGCUCCUAGCACUCAAAGCACUUCUUGGCUCGAAGCUCAAGCACUCCUUAAGGUGUUUGAAUUCUUUUUGUAUUUUUAAAUUAUUUGUUUUAGGAAAAUUCUAGAUUUCGCCUACAAGGCAUUUGGUCCUCUAAAUACUAUACUAUAAAAGUUUUUGCUCUUUGAUGCAAACUUUGGAAAAAAAAAAUGGAUUUUUAGUCUUCAUGUAUCCCAAAAUUCUCAAAAGUUGUGUUUUUUCUCGUGCCUUAGGCUUAAGAGAAAGAUCUGCAUCCCUCAUGUGUUGAGUUGUUGACAUGAAAACUAGUGUAAAUUUGGGAGUAAGUUUUAGGGAUAACAUGCAUACUUUUCUUUUAAUGGUAGCUUUGUGUGUUGAGAUAUUAUGAUAUAUUCUAGGAAAGUAGUUGCUAUUGUUUAGAAUUGUUUCCUAAAUGUUGAGAUAUUAUGAUAUAUUCUAGGAGCUAUUGUUUAGGAUUGUUUCCUAAACUCACGGCAUUGUUUAGGAAUGUUUCCUAAACUCACGGUUUUCCCUUAAUUAGGUUUGCUUGAUGUACUAUAUAUUUACAUGGAUGAAUAUCAAUUAGGGUUAAGCUUUGACCCUUUAAUCACACUUUACAUGGUAUCAGAGCACUGACAUGCACACACAAUAAAACAAUGGCCGGCGAUGAUGAACAACCACCAUUGCCGCCACCUAAAAGGGAGAUGAAUUCACCUUUUUUUCUCGGCACAGGAGACGGACCAGGCGACUUCAUCACUCCCACUCACUUACGCGGCGACAAUUACGAUGAUUGGGCUUCCGAUAUUCAGUUGGCAUUGGAGGCACGUCGCAAGUUCGAAUUUUUGGAAGGCACUAUCACCGGACCACAACCUCCAUAUACCCAAUCUGAUUGGAACACCGUCAAUGCAAUGUUGGUUUCUUGGAUUACAAACACAAUCGAUCCCGAGGUAAAGAGUACCCUAUCUAAAUUUCGUGAUGCAAAACGCUUAUGGGAGCAUCUUAAGCAACGAUAUGCUAUGGUUAAUGGCCCAAGAAUUCAACAGUUAAAGACUUCAAUUGCUAAGUGUGAGCAAUCGAAAUCUAUGUCUGUUACAACUUACUAUGGCAAAUUGAAUGUAUUAUGGGGGGAAUUAUUUAAGCAUGAACCGUUAAUUUCUUGCACUUGUUGUUCGUCUUGUACUGCCGCAUCAUUGCACCAAGCAAGACGUGAACAAGGAAAAUUACAUGACUUCUUGAUGGGACUCAACAUUGAUCUGUACGCUUAAUUACGAACCAAUAUCAUUUCUCAAGAUCCCUUGCCUUCGCUUGAUCGAGCGUACCAACUGGUGAUACAAGAUGAGCGUGUGCGGCUCGCCAAGGCAGUCACAGAAGACAAGCCAACAAAGGUCCUUGGCUUUGCUGUCCGUACAGGUGCUGGAAGAGGACGAGGAAAAACGGAGAGGCCUGUGUGUAGCCACUGUAAGAAGACGGGGCAUGAGACUUCAACUUGCUGGUCCCUCGUUGCUUGUCCUCACUGUCACAAGCAUGGCCAUGACAAAAAUAAUUGUUAUGAAAUAGUGGGUUAUCAUGAGGGGUGGUUGGAUCAAAACAAGGUUGAUGGGGGUGUUGGACGUAGUCGUCAGCAGGCUGGUCGUGGGCGUGGUUCAGCUCGUGCUAAAGCGGCAAGUAGCACAAUUGGAGCAUCCUCUACUAAAAGUUCUACCGAUCAACUCUUCACACCCGAACAAUGGAAAGCUCUUGCGGGCUUAAUUGGUAAUGCUCAAGUUCCGGAUGACAGGUUGAAUGGUAAGUUUGACACGAAGUCAUGGAUCAUUGACACCGAGGCAACUCAUCACGUGACCAGUGAUUUAUCUUGGUUAUUUGAUACUAUAACGUUGUUUGAGUGUCCGGUUGGCCUUCCUAAUGGUGAAUCUGUUGUUGCGACCCAAUCCGGUUCCGUUCGUUUGUCGAAUAACAUCACCCUUAAAAACGUUCUUUAUGUGCCGAAACUCAAUUGCAAUUUACUUUCGGUUUCACAAUUGACUGAUGACUUACAUUGUAUUGUCCAAUUUAACUCUUAUAUGUGUGCUAUACAGGACCACACCAGGGAGCUGAUUGGAACGGGAGUUAGGCGAGAUGGACUUUACUACUUCGGUAGAGCUGAAGGUGAUUCGGUACAACAUGUUUCUGUCCACAACGCAGCCUCCACUUUGGAGUUGUGGCACAAAAGGAUGGGACAUCCUUCAGAGAAAGUAGUGAAGUUACUUCCUCCAGUUAGCAAUCUUAAGGGUAGUUUAAACAAAGCUUGUGAAAUAUGUUUUCGUGCUAAGCAUCCUAGAGACAAAUUUCCUUUAAGUGACAAUAAGGCAACUAGAAUUUUUGAGAAAAUACAUUGUGAUUUGUGGGGCUCUUAUAAACAUGUCUCUUCUUGUGGAGCUCGUUAUUUUUUAACUAUUGUUGAUGAUUUCUCAAGAGCUGUGUGGAUUUAUUUGUUGGUCGAUAAAACAGAAGUUUUUCGGAUGUUUAUGUCUUUUAUUGUAAUGGUAGAUCGACAAUUUUCUCAAACAGUGAAAGUUGUUCAAAGUGAUAAUGGUACGGAAUUUAAAUGCCUACUUGACUAUUUUUCUGCAACUGGCAUUUUAUUCCAAACUUCUUGUGUGGGAACUCCGCAACAAAAUGGGAGGGUUGAGAGAAAACACAAGCAUAUUUUAAAUGUGGGGAGGGCAUUAUGCUUUCAAGCAAAUUUGCCUAUUUAUUUUUGGGGCGAAAGUGUUCUUGCCGCUGCUCAUUUAAUAAACCGCACUCCCUCUCCUUUGUUACACAAUAAAACACCAUUUGAAAUCCUAUUUGGCACCCCUCCUUCAUAUGCGGCAAUUCACACCUUUGGUUGUCUUAGUUUUGCUCAUGAUCAAAAAUCCAAAGGUGACAAAUUUGCAAGUAGAAGUAGAAAAUGUGUGUUUUUGGGUUACCCGUUUGGAAAGAAGGGGUGGAAGUUGUUUGAUUUGGACACCAAGGAAUUAUUUGUUUCUCGUGAUGUCAAGUUUUUUUAGGAUGUUUUUCCGUUUGGUAACCCGGGUGCUGUGAAUAUUAUUCCGGACAACAUUGUGCCUACGGUAAAUGUUGAAAUUGAUAGUGAUUUUGCUGAUUUUGUCGAUGAUGAUGCUGAUUUACCUAACCCACAAGCCCAAACACAAAAUCCCAACCUCAUCCAACCUGAACCCCAAGCCCACCAAGAUCUUUCACCUGGGCCGAAAGUUAUUCCCACUGUUGGGCUUGAUUCACUUGGGCUUGACAAUACAAGCAAUGGGCAGUCUGCUCCUAUGGGAAAGGGAAUGAGGGAUAAAUUUCCUUCGGUUCUAUUACGAGAUUUUGUUACUCAUACGGUGGUUACUGAAAGUCCAUCUCCCGCCACUCCGUCUCCACAGCAUCCCUCAGGUACUCCUUAUCCCAUAGCACAUUAUAUAAAUUGUGACAAUUUUUCUGUACAUUAUCGAAAGUUUCUUGUAGCUAUUAUUUCGAGCAAUGAUUCUAAGUCAUUUAAAGAGGCUAUGAAAUAUGUCGGUUGGCAAAAGUCAAUGCAUGAGGAGAUUCGGGCUUUGGAGGAAAAUGGUACGUGGACUCUUGAACCUCUUCCAAAGGGUAAGCGUGCUUUGGGAAGUCAGUCGGUUUACAGAACCAAGUACUUCUCAAACGGUGAUAUUGAAAGGCUCAAAUCCAGAUUAGUAGUUUUGGGGAAUCAUCAAGAAGCCGGUAUUGAUUAUCAUGAGACUUUUUCUCCAGUUGCCAAAAUGACUACGGUGCGUGCUUUCUUGGCUAUUGCGGCUUCGAAAAAUUGGGAACUUCAUCAGAUGGAUGUUCACAAUGCCUUUUUGCAUGGAGAUCUUGAGGAAGAAGUGUAUAUGAAGCUACUCCCAGGUUUUGAGAGUUCCGAUCCGAACUUGGUUUGUAGGUUACGGAAAUCACUUUAUGGGUUGAAACAGGCUCCGAGAUGUUGGUUUGCCAAGUUGGUCACGGCUCUUAAAGGAUAUGGUUUCUUAUAAUCCUACUCUGAUUAUUCUCUUUUUACUUACACUAAGGGCAAUGUUCAAAUAAAUGUGCUAGUGUAUGUCGACGAUCUUAUUAUCUCUGGGAAUGAUUCCGCUGCACUUAAGACCUUUAAAGCCUAUCUCAGUGAUUGUUUUAAGAUGAAAGAUCUUGGUGUUUUGAAGUAUUUCCUCGGAAUCGAGGUGGCCAGGAGUUCGGCUGGUUUGUUCUUGUGUCAACGCAAGUACAAACUUGACAUUAUAUCGGAGGCCGAAUUACUGGGAGCUAAGCCGUGUGGCUUCCCGAUCGAGCAAAAUCACAGAUUAGGACUCGCAAAUGGGGAGCUCUUAUCGAACCCUGAGUCCUAUCGCAGAUUAGUAGGUCGACUCAUUUAUCUGGCAGUGACCCGUCCAGAUUUGGCCUACUCGGUUCAUAUAUUAUCUCAAUUUAUGCAGGAGCCUAGAAUUGAGCAUUGGGAGGCGGCUUUGAGAGUCGUUCGUUAUUUGAAAGGUACUCCGGGUCAGGGUAUCUUGUUACGUGCAGAUAGUGAUCUGUCCCUGUAGGGUUGGUGUGAUUCUGAUUGGGCAGCAUGUCCAGUCACUAGAUGCUCUUUGUCCGGAUGGCUUGUGUUUCUUGGGCAAUCUCCUAUUUCUUGGAAGACAAAGAAGCAACACACAGUUUCCCGCUUGUCUGCAGAAGCAGAAUACCGAGCUAUGGCAGCAGUUACUUGUGAGCUCAAAUAGUUGAAGGGUUGCUUCUGAGCUUGGGUGUGCACCACCCAAAGGCAAUCAAGCUCUUUUGUGAUAGUCAGUCAGCCCUUCAUAUGGCCAAAAAUCCAGUAUUUCAUGAACGCACCAAACACAUUGAGGUUGAUUGUCACUUUGUUCGGGAUGCGAUAACAGAUGGUUUGAUUGCUCCGUCAUAUGUUCCUACUGUUACACAAUUGGCGGAUAUUUUUACAAAGGCUCUUGGAAAGAAACAAUUUGAUUAUCUUCUUGCCAAGUUGGGCAUUUUUGAACCUCAUGCUCCAACUUGAGGGAGGGUGUUGAGAUAUUAUGAUAUAUUCUAGGAAAGUAGUUGCUAUUGUUUAGGAUUGUUUCCUAAAUGUUGAAAUAUUAUGAUAUAUUCUAGGAGCUAUUGUUUAGGAUUGUUUCCUAAACUCACGGCAUUGUUUAGGAAUGUUUCCUAAACUCACGGUUUUCCCUUAAUUAGGUUUGCUUGAUGUACUAUAUAUUUACAUGGAUGAAUAUCAAUUAGGGUUAAGCUUUGACCCUUUAAUCACACUUUACAUUGUGUAAUAUGGUCUUUGGUGAUCUUAUAGUUUUUACAUCCAUAUAGUCUUUGGAAGACUUCGUAAAUGGUUUUCCACAUAAAAAUCAUUUUGUCUCGUGCGAUUUAUUUCUCUACCUUCUCUCUAUUUAUUAAAGAUGAAUUAAAAAUAAAAAUUUGGAUUAAAAGAAGUUAAUACCUAUUCACCCCUCCACGUGUUCAAUAAAUAAAAUCUACAAACUUCAUUGAGGAUAGGUAUAUUGUAGGAUAGGUAGGCCUAAGAAUUGCUAGGCACAUAACAAUCACUCAUCAAAAAAUAACGACUCAAUAAAUGGUUAAGAAUGAAUGUGCAUAAGUUUCCACUAUAAGAUCUCGUAUGAGUAUGAUGUUAAACUUAAUAAAAAGGCUUAGAAUGACUUAAAAAUGGAUAUAUUAUGCAAUAAUUAUGUUCCAUUUAACCUAAUAGAAAAUGGUUAAGUUUAUAUUUAUUUUUUCUAUUUUUAAAAUAAUUUAUCAUCCAUCGCCAUGAAAAUUUCAUUCCCCCACCAAAUGUGCGAAGUAGGAAUAAGGGUCUCCAAUGGGCCAGGCCGGGCGGUCCGGCCCGAAGGAGUAAAGCCCAUGGCCCAGCCCAGGGGGGCCACUGAGCCCGUUGACUGGUCAACGGGCCGGGCCGGACCCUUGAUAUAUCUAAGGCCCGUGGGCCCUCAAGCUGGAUGGGCUUGGCGGGCCAGGGUAAAAAUUAAAAUAAUUUUUAAUUUUGGAGGGAAGGGGUUCGAAUCCCCUUCCCUUAUAGAACCAUAAGGGAGCUAGCCACCAACUGAGUUGGCCCUCUUUUGUGUAACUAUUUUGCAUUAAUUAUAUAUAUAUUAGAAAUGUUGUAUGAUUUUUGAAAAAAAAUAAAAGUGAGUUGGUUGUUCAACGGUUACAUAACCAUUGAACAUGUCACUCAUAAUUCAAUUUCAAAUAUAUGACCGUUGAACGAUCUUGAAAUUUUUUUUUUAAAAAAAAAUUAAAUCCUAAUAUUUAAAUCCCUAUAAAUAUUAAAUACCCUCAAUUUUUUUCUAUUCUCUCAACUCUUAAGCUCUCUCCCAUUCCACAAUAUUUCCGAUUAUUGCAUUUUGUCUCAAAUUAUUCAAUAUUAUUGGUGGUGAAAAAUAAGCAUUGGUGGUUCAAAGAGUUCAAAUUUGAAGGAAUUUCUGCUUCGGUUCUCUAAUUUAGUAACAUACUUCACCUUUUCUUUUAUUUAUUUGUUACAUUUUAAUUUUACAUUUAUUAUUUUUAACAUAAUAUUUUAUCAAUAAUUAUAAUUAUGGCAAGUGGUUCUUGUUCUUCAUCUAAUGCAUGUGAUAGCAAAAAAUUUACUUCAAAUAUAUGAAUUUUUUUUUAUAGAAUAGAAAUAAAUUUAGAAAAUAAUAAAAAAGAAAUAAAAGCAAAAUGUAAAAUUUGUAACAAACUUCUUAGUGGUGGCUCAAAUGCAGGUACAAGUCAUUUAAAAAUGCAUCAUGAAAAUUGUAAAACUAAAAAUAAUGUAGAUAUUAGAAAUUAUAUGCAAUUAGGUAAAGAUGAAAGUGGAAAUUUAAAAACAUUUUCUUAUGAUGAAUCUUAUUGUCGUGAAGAAAUGAUUGGUUAUAUAAUAAGAGCAGAACAACCUUUCAAUUUUACUAGUUCGCUAUAACCGCCAAGAGAUAAUGAUUAAAAUAUUUUAUUAAAUGUAUGUCAUAUUUUUAUUUUUAUUUUUAUAGUUGAAAAGUACAAAUGAUUGACAAAUAAGUAGGUACCAACCUAGUUGGGAUGUAUUUAUUUUGUAGUAAUGUAAAUUUUUCCCACAUUUUUAAAUGUAAUGUAUACAUUUAAUGAAUAAAAUAGUUAACAAUGAAUAUUUUUAUUAAUAUAACAUUUUCUAUUUCUUGAAAUUUUUUUUUAAUAUAUAUUUUAAAGUGACGGGCCUACGGGCUGGGCCUAAGGGCCGGGCCUAAUUUGGGGCCCAUGGCCCGGCCCAUCCAGAAAUGGGCUCGGGCCGGGCCCCGGGCCCCGGGCUUUUUGGAGACACUAAGGAAUGAGAAAAUGCCGGACGUGCGUUUUCCCACUAAACAAACGUGCCCUUAACGAGCAGAGCAAGUCCACCCGCCGCUUUGUCCCUUGUACAAUUCGCCGUACCCGAAAGUGAGAAGAACUAAAUUUCGAAAAAGAAAUGCAUUCGUACGGGUAUAGAGCAAACGGUGUGCUCUCAUUGUCAUUGACUAUUCUAGCCCUACUCUGCACUGUCGCCUCUCUCUCCGGCGGUAUUCUCAAUCUCCCUCCUCCUUCCGCCCAAGUUGAGGUCUCUCUCUCUCUCUCUCUCUCUCUAUUUAUAUACUUACGGAUGUAUUCAGAUCUGGUACCUAUGUUUUGAUAUCGGUAGGUGGUAAACAUCAAUUGGUUUCAGAAGCACCGAAGUGGAAACGACGAGGUAAAUUCAUUCUUGAUUUCGAAAAGAAAAUAUUUGGAUGUCAAGUCUCAAUGAUAAUAGAUUCUCCAUUGUAUGACUUGAAAAUUAAUUUUGAAUUUCUUUUAAAAGAUUUGAAGCUUAGAUUCUUGGAAAGCUAAUUUUGAAGUGCUGAAAAAGGGAUCCUAGUAUGCUUGCUUGAUUCAUCGAUUUCUUUUGGCUCUUGGAUAGAAUGAGAGCAAAAUGGAAUGAAAUUGUGUUUAAAAGAUUGUAAAAUUUGAAUUUCCUUGAAGAAAUUUUUUGAGCAUUUCUGUGUGCUUGCAAAGAAUGUAAUGGAUGGUGGAUCUUUGACUUCACAGAAUUUGUGUUGUGCUUCAUUCUGAAAGAAAAUACAAAGGUGUAUCAGCAGUGAUUUGUGUGAAAUCAUAUAUUUUUCAAGGAAUUUUUUUUUUGUUUGUUGUUUGUUGUUGCUAUAUAAAAUGAUGAUCAUUAACAACUAUUUAAGGACUGCCAUAGAUGGAAAAGAUUGAUACUCUAAUUAGUAAUAAGGAAAUGAUGGUUUUACCAUGGGGAAGUCAAGCCAACUAUUCACAAUGAUGCUUUGCUAUGUUGACAUGUUGGCUUUUGAUUAAGCCCUCAUCUAUAGAACCAUUUUUUAGUGCUUGCUAUUUGGCAGUUGGACUUCCAGCCAUUGCUCUUUGAGUGAUGCAGGAGAGAAGUUAUUGAGAUGUUUAUGAGGAUCCUCUGUCCAUUAUUGCUGUCAAUGCUUAUGCUCAGGAAUCACUUCUCUAACAUCUAAUUAGUUGAAUUUUAUAUUAGUAACUACAACCAAAAAAAAGGUGUGUUCUGAACAUAGUGUUCUGUUGUAAACUGAGAAGGAAUGAUAAGAAUGAAGCAUGCAUCAUAAAUAAGUAAUCCAAUUUAUUUCUUUGAAUGCAUAUUUGGUGUGCAAAUAUUUACAUGUCAUGUCAUUGAGUCUUUUUUUAGAAGCAUCUAGGAGAACCUGUUGGUAAUGCAAUGCAUUUUAAUUUCCAAUGAUAAAUUGAAUCUGCAAUACAAUAGGCUUUGUUGUUAAAAUUUAGAGGUUGCUUAAAGUCAGGUCAAAGUUCUUCUGUUGUUGUAUUUUUAUAUUUAUUUAUAAUCCUUUUUCAAUAGUUUGAUGGAUGAUGUGCACCUAGAUAGAACUUGAUGACCGACAAGGAUUCAGCACACCAACUCAAUAUUGGGAUUUUAAGGGUUUAUUUUUGUUGUUGUUGUAUAUGGUUUAUUCAUGUAUCCUUGAAGCAUUUUGAUCUAUUUAUUUAGGUCGUUGAAGUCAUCCAACUUCUACUUUAUGUAGGUCAGCUUGACAUUAAAUAUUUCAGCAAAUCUUGAGUCAUUGUUUACUUGGAACACGAAACAGGUAUAUCAACCAACUCUUUUAUUUGCUUACAAACGAUAUCUUGCAAAAUGCUUUAAAUGCUCUAGAAUGUUAAUGGCUGGACUCAUACCUUUUGUGUCUACUGUAGUGAUUUAAUCAAUACUUUUUUGGAAAAUAAGAAAAAACUUGUGAAUUUUAUUAGAUGUGCAAGUGAGACAUAUCUUAAACUCUCCUUGUAUCUACUUCCAUGAUGUAAAUAACCAAAUAACCCUUACAAAUUUUACAUUGUCCUAUAGGAACUUUCUAUGUGACUAAUAUACAUAGUUGUUAACUCAUAAAAUGCAUCAUUUUCAUGUCAUAUACGCAAGUUUUUUUAUAUAGUAAAAAGUAAAUAAAAAGAAUAUGAAUACAUGUGUGUGUGUAUUGAAAGCAUGAAGUACAAAAUAUUAUAUAACCAAUUUUAUGAAAGAUAGUAGGAUUUAAAGAGUUAAACUAUGUCAUACCAUAUGAAAACAUUGAGUGCUAGAUUUUUUGAAAGUUAAAUUUAAUAACAUAUGAGUUUAAUGCAUAGGUUUAUCAUUAAAUCCACUAAAAUAAACUUUUUGAAUUUUUAGAUAUGAUUUUUAGUUUCAAAUUCUAACUAAGCAUAUGUACUUAUAUGGUUAUGAGUAUGCAUAUCUAUAUGCGUCAUCUCUAAAGUUCCAACUUUUUAUGUUUGUCAUCAUUUUUUCCCCAUAAAUAAAUAACAACAACAAUAAAGACCAAAAAAAACAAAUAUAUUAAGUAAAAGUUUUUAUUCACCAAUCAUCAUCAUUUUCAAUGUCAACAAAAAAUAAAAACAACAACAAAGACCAAAAAGACUAAUAUAUUGAGUAAAAGUUUUUAUUCAUCGAUUAUCUUUGUUUUCAAUGUCAACAUUCAAUUCAUUAAAAUGAAAAUUCUUCAAUAUUUAUUGUCAGAAUAAAUUUACUUAGGUUCUAACAUUAUAUUUGACAAUAAGAAUGUAGUUUUUCAUAUAAGAUUAUUUUACUUCUCUACCUUCUAUGAUCAAUUUCUAAUCUUAUUGUCCAUUUUAAACAAAUAAUAUAAUAGUUUUUUAAGAAAAAAAAUUUGGAUUUAAUUUUUAAAAAAAUCAUUAAAAAUAGUUAGGGGUGUAUGUGUUGUUGUAUCACAUAUUAUAUCAUGUAUCACAUGUAUAUCUAUCAUAAAUUACACUGAAGAUAAUAUAGGAAUUAUGAUACAUAUUGACAUUCAUUAAAAAUUAUAUCGUAUUGUUGUAUGUAUAUCUUUUUACAUCGAUUUGUGCCCCCUCUCUCUCUCUCUCUCCCUCCCCCUAAUUUUAUGUACGCAAUGGAAAUUCACAAUAUAGGAGAUAGUAUCUAACUGAGAAUUUAAUAUUGCAGAUAUUUGUCUUCUUAGCAGCUGAGUAUGAAACCCCAAAGAAUUCGUUGAAUCAGGUAUGCUGUAAUAGAUUGUGAUGCAAAUGCCUUUGCAGGGUUGUGUUCCUUUUUUUCUUUAUUUUGGGCACAAGUUGCUGCACUUUUAUGUUGCAUGAUAGUAUGGAGACUUGUGGUGGUUGUUGAACUAGUUUCCAUUCACUUGUUCCCUUUGUGUCUUAGUAGGAAUUCAACAUUAUUGUUGCUUUCUUGGCAAUCUUUCAUAUGCUUAGCCUCCAUUUCUAUAUGCAACAGCCCUCAAUUCACCUCAAAUGAGGGUUGCUUAACUUACGACUAUGUUUAUUGUGCAGUACUUAAAAGUUCCUCUUGAGCUAGUUCAAACUUCAAAUCACUGAUGGUAUAAGUGAGAUGGUUGUACUCUUAAUGUCUAAGAAAUUAUAUUAAGGUGAAAUAAAUUUACCUGAUGUGUUUGGAUUCCAUAUAAUACAGUAUGCCAUGUUAUUGUUUUAUACAAGGUUAAGAGGCAAAAUUUGUCAUUCCCUAGACUUCUCCAGUGUAGACUGAGCAAUAAGAUUGACAGGAAUUUAACUAAUGUGACCUGAUCUAGAAAUUAGUCACUAUCAUAUAAUAUUGAUUCUAUAUGCUAAGAGAAUGUGGCUACAAAGAAUGAACAGGAUUAAUUUACCUACAAUUAGCAUAUAGUGUUUGUGUUUUUGCUGCUUGCAAUCUCUUAAACAAGGCUUACAUAGUGAGUUACUGGGACUAUAUAACCUCCCAAUUUUUUAAUCCACCAUGGCUUGAAGGUUAUGCUGUUGCUUGAAGGAGGUCUUUGCAGUGAUGAGAUAUGUGAAUCAUAAUAAUGAAGGUAAGGAAUUAAUUUUCUUUGAACUUAAAAGAAUAUACAGUGAAGGACGAGCUGUCCUUCACUACAAACAAAAUCUUUCAACAAAUUGGAGAAACUAAACAAGAUCACUGAAGAAAAACAAUGGAGUACCAAAUCAGAAAACAGAUCAUAACCAAGAAAUAUACAGCUCAGGGGGGAUAAAACUCCCUUACAAAACAAUCUGACUGAAAAGCUCCACACAUGGCUAGAAGCUAGAAAGUCAGCUAACCAGUUGGCUGAGCAUGGAACCCAAGGUAGGAGCACCCCAAAACUCAACCUAAAUCUAUGAUCUGAUGUUUUUCCUUGCUCACUCAAGAAAUGAUUGUGGCUGAAUCAUUCUCCACUUAAAAGUUUGGAUAUACCCAAAGAAUUAGCCAAAAACAAGCCCUCCAGAACUGCCUGAAUCUCUACCUAGAAAACUGAACAAGCCCCAGCUGAUUUAGAGAAAGCUCCUAACACCAUACCAUCACAAUCCCUAAUCACACCUCCAAUAUGUAGCUGUUCUGGGUUAUUAAAGAACUGCUAUGAAAGUUUACUUUGUGGACACCUACUGGAAGGAGUCUACACUCCUCUUGGAAGAGCAAACAAAGCCUUUGCAUUUGAUUUAAGAUAUAUUGGAGUCUGUGUGUUGGUAACAAUAACUUGAACAGUAUGUCAGCAAUAACUUCAUGUGUGGUCUUUCCAUAAUUUGUUUUUAUGUCUGACUCAUGUUUACAAUAAGAAACUUACCUUUUUUCUUUGGAUACUCAUAGUGUAUUUUACUCAUAACUACCAUAAUUCAGAAUCUUGACUAUGGGAAAGGCAUGUCUGGUACAGCCAUGGCUCCUGAAGACACGUCCAUCCUACAUGGAGUUGAGCAGAGACAGUAGUUCUUUACAGAUUUGUCCUGCUACAUAGUGUGACUAGUGUCUAGUAUCCAGUGUCAGUCAAGGCAAUUCAAUGGCACCAUCAUGACACUGAUGGACAUCAGUUUCCUUGGAAUGACAUCCAUAUUUCCAAGUGUAGAUACUUCCCUAUUCAACAAAUCUUACAAUCCAUGGCCAUCAUAUCAACUCCUUAGCAGGCAAAGCUUGUUCCUAAUGUUCAGCUGUUUAGUCAUAUCUAUUAUUUGUUGUGCAUGCUGAACCAAUGACCAUAGUUUCAACUCCUUAACCGACUCUUGUUCAUACUGUUUGACAAUUUUGUCAUUUAAGAUUACUUUCUGUGCAUGCUAAAUUGUUGGCUUUGCUUGAUUUACAGUCUCCAUAUCAGAAAUCAUAUUCUGUGCAUUUACUGGAUUUCACUGUUUUGAAACAGGUUUCUAUUUGGGAUGGUAUUAUACCAUCCAUAGAACAAGCAAAGUUCCGGAUUAACACCAUAAACAAGUACCGUCUUGCUGAUCAGGUAAGGCUUCUCUUCAGUACAAUUUCUGCCACUAAUGGUCCCAGGAGCAUCAAACCCCUAUAAAAAUUAUGAGUCUCUCCUCACCAAGCCAGGGCCCAAUAUUAGCAUACUUUAUGUUGGUCGUACGGAAAAGGAGGCUUUUCUUUCCAACCCCAUCAAGAAAAGGAAAAAUUUAUAAUCUGCCGCAAUUUUCUGCCCUCUUACCACCUACCAUAUGCAACAAGGAUGCCCCAGUAUUUGCCGUCACCUAACACCCACGUCCAACACAAAACCUUUAUCUAAAUUUAUGCAUGAAAAUGUUCUGGAGGUUUCACUGUAGAUGCCUUUCUGCUUCCUGAUUAUGAAGGUGAUGAUCUGUUUGUCAAUCAGUUCACUGCAUAUUUGUUUUCUUCCACUCAUCCUAGUCAUCGUUUCCAGGGGAACAACCUUCGGGGCAGAGAAUUUAACUUGACAUUGCAUUGGCAUGUCAUGCCCAGGACAGGCAAAAUGUUUGCCGAUAAAAUAGUUAUGACAGGAUAUCGCAUGCCCCAUGAGUACGUAUAAAGGAUCUUUUCUGUGUAUUUUAAGUUCUUAUAGGAUGGGAAUUAAACAAUUACACUAUAAAGAAAUAUCACAAAAUUUUCAAAUUGGGUGAAAAGCUUAUCAGGAAGAGACUUCCCUUGAGGUUAUACGCUGGCCCACUCUUUCGUCUUAGCAAUCAAUUGCUACCUUCAAAAACGUUGUCACUUCAACAUUGACGCAAAUUGUUUUGUACCUAAUUUGCAUCCUAUUUUAUAUUUUGAUCUCAUCUAUUUGUAUUCUGAUCAUAUAUGUUUUGUAUCUUUAUUUAACGAUCUAGAUUUCAUAAUAUAUGAUCGAGAUUGUAUGUUUGAUUGAUGCAAAUCAAUACCCUAAAAUUUUUCAAAAAUAAAAUAAAAUACAUCGCUCUCACCAAACAUGGUGGCUGGAUUUAAAAAAGCUAAAAGAUCCAAGUAUGAAGCUCCAAAUGGUGAAGACAUGCCAUUCUCCACGCACCCUGGAAGGACUGCAACAAGAUCCAUUUCGUUCCCUCUCAUUGGCUUGUCUGCAUUUUUUUUUUCUUCCGUUUAUCUUAUUUAAUAUAUGUAUACAUUUCAUCGCUCUCAUCAAUCUGGCUAGCACUUAUUUAUUUGGACAUUAUUGGCUUCUGAUAUUUACUGGCAGCCAAUGAAAUUUCAUUAGUAUUUAAUAACCAAAGUGCAGAGUGUGGCUCACACACCAUAUUUUUUAAAAACAGAUGGAUACAAAAAUGGAGGAAAAUACCUCAAGAUCUCCAAUAUCUCAAUAGAAAAUCCAAGAACCCACCCAAUUCUUUUCGCAAUCAAUGACGAUUGACUUGCUACUUCACUCCCAUAAUAUUUUGUUUCUGCACUAUAAAAAAAGGUCCUCCAAUUUGGGCUGCCAAAAGAUUCAUCCAAAUGUUUUUUCUCAAUGCCUUUUUCUUUAUUUUCAAAAUUACCCAGAUGGAGUAGUAUCGAUUCUUAUAUUAUUCUACAAGUGAUACCCCCUUCCAAUUAUCAUCCCUGAGGUCAUAUCGCACCCAUCUUCCAACAAAAAUUUGACGCUUUUCUUUCUCUUUAUCCAUUCAGCCAAACACAGCAUGUAAAUAUUCUUAAAGAACUUCUUCCAGAAUUCACCAAAUCAGAUAGAAUAUCUGGAAAGCUGAAAACUUCAGAGACUACGACAACGAAUUAUCAUUCAUGAUGAUGCUACAAAUUGGAUGACGAAUCAUCAAAUUUGCUCAAUAUUCAAUGCAGAUGCAUGAAAGUUUGAAUGGUCCCUACGUAUAAUAGAAUACAGUAUAUGAAAAAGAAGGUAUCUUGGCAUAUGGGUUUUCCCCAAAAUUGUAGUUUUCAGUGAGGGCGGUGGCCACAGGCCCCCAAGGUCAAGGGAAAAUUGAAGAUGUGGCUGUCACUUGCCUUAAGAAAAUGGGGAUUGCACAAGUCUUAAUCGUUGUUACUGGUGGUUGUGCUCAAAAGGGCUUUUAUUUUGGUGGAAUCGAUCUUCCUCUUUUAUCAAAUCCAACAAUUAUUUUUUUUUUGGCUUUUUCUUAUGGGUUGUUUGGAAUCUUGCAUUUAUACGUUUCCUCUUGGCCCCACAGAUUCCCAACCACCAUUCCUCGUUUUUAUCGGGAAAAUUUUGAGGGUGAAACCACCUAGAAUUUCCUAGAAUUGGAGGAGAGGGCCACAAUCCUUCAUUUAGAGCACACUAGUGUCAUUAAUUAUGGAUGAUUGAAACUUUUUCUUCUUCUUGAUUGCUGGCCAGUGGUGCUUAUCACUGCAACAAUGUUGUCUUUCUCCGACUUAUAUGACUAUAUGGAAUUGGUUCCUAUAUCGGUGAAUUACAGACACAUUUUCAUAAGCUCGAUGUCUUAAGCAAUCAAAUUCAAUGAAUAACUUAGUUUGAAAAAAGGGAUUGAAUUAAGAAAGUGAAAUUGAUAGAAUGAUUGUUUUCAAUAGAAAUAAAGAAAAUAGUCCAUUUAAACAGUAUUAUAGUUGACUUAGCGAUAUUUUCAUAAGCUCGAUGUCUUAAGCAUCCAAAUUUAAUGAAUAACUUAGUUUGAAAAAAGGGAUUGAACUAAGAAAGUGAAAUGGAUAGAAUGAUUAUUUUCAAUAGAAAUAAAGGAAAUAGUCAAUUUAAACAGUAUUAUAGUCGACUUAGGGAUUUAUGAUAAAUUGUAAUCGACUCAGGAAUUCAAGUAAAGAUUGAACUUCUUUCGUAGUAUGUUCAUCAAUAUCAAACUUCAUACAAUAUAAUACGACAGAAAGAAUCGACUUUCAUAUGUUGUGUCAUGUGUCUUAAAGGAUAAAAUAGUUAUAAAUGAAUUAUAAAUAUCAAAAAAUUACAUUUCAAUAAUUCACCAAACGGAGCCUCUUCUUAAGAAAAAGAAUAGGGUGUAUAAAAACAACUUGUUUAAAGAAAAAAUUGAGGGAUAAGAUAGGUUAUUUUAUAUCAUAUGACAAAAUCUAAGCAAUUUGUGUUCUCAAGUGACUGCAAACCACCGCCAGACAAGGUCUGUAAAGUUUCAACAUCUCCUUCAUGGUGCCUUUAAGCUACCCACCAAAUAAACGUGCCCUAUAAUAUUGCAAAUGACUUCAAUCAACUGCCCUUUGCUUCUUUCCAUUUUUGCCAUUUUUUCAAACAAUCUUUAAUGUUUAGGAAACAUUUUUGCAUUUAUCAAUGUGCACUCACCUACUCUGCCCUUCGCAAGUUGCAUAAUAUCCUUGCCUAUAAUUGGUCAUUUGUGUGUUGCACUCUCUAGAUGCUCAUUUCUGUCAUCAACUGCCUCUAGUGGGUGCUACGUCCAAGCCUGACACCUUCAAAAUGAUACCGGAAACCAAUCUUGAUUCAUCUUUUUGUUUUCCAUUUCAUUGAACGAAAGAAAAUAUAGGAAAAGGAAGGAGUGUAGAAGAAAGUUAGGUGCUAGUCGUGGGAUGCUACCAUGCUAGUGGACAAUAAUUUUGUUGGUUUGCCCUUCAACUAGUACAUGCAUAUUACUUAUCUUAUUCAUCAUGUCAUGAACGUUGGUAUGAUUGUCAUUCAAUUGAUUCAUGACCCAUUUAAUUAUCCCAUCAUAUUGACAAGAAUAAGAUUGUAAUUUAGCUUCUACAUCUACAUAUUCCCAUACUACAUAAUUCUUGUACAUUUAAAAUCUUCAAUGAGUUCGAUAAAUCAUAAUCAUAUAAUUUAAUUAUUUUACGUCUAUUUCAUGUUAAUUAACCAAUAUCAUCGUACACGUACCACCAAGGUGGACCUAACAUGGAGUCCUUGACUAAUCUCUUCAAGAUGCUUAAUGAUUUUUUAAAACUUCAUGUGAAAUGGUAGAUAUAUUAUUCUUUUUCAUUUUUAAAUUUAAUUAUUAAUUCUUUUUUAAAACAAUGGAGUACUAUGUAAUAUGAGAGCAGCAUAUCAUAAUAAUAAUAAUGGAAAGAAUAGCAUUAGAUUUCCGAAUAGAUUCUUGAAUCACAUGAUAAAUAAAUGUUAUAAAAUAAAGAACAAGUAUAUGUAGUUGAAGCAACCCAUUGAUAUGUCCAUUCUUCAAAUUAAUUGAACCCAUAUGGAACAAAGUUAAGGUAUCAAUUUGACAUCUGAUAUACUCUUUAUCUCCACCAUUAAAAGUAUAUUAAUCGAAAUCGUACAUAUAUGGAGUACAAGAUUUUAACGUGGUUUGAUGAUUAAUAUGAUAUAUCCACAAAAUGCAUUAAUACUUAAUAAUCCAGUAAUCAAAGGAAAAAGGAAUAGAAAAAUGAAACUCUUAAAAAAAAAAAUCCUCUCAAUUAUGACUGUAUUCUUUAAAAGGAUUAAAUAUAUUAUAGGAGUUGAUUUGUCAUUCAUCACAUAAAAGAAAUUUCUCUAGGGCGUUGCCCCUUCAAUCCCAUGAGCUAAUCAAGCAGCUCGAUCCCCAUGUGCUCAACGGAGAAUUAUACCCCAGGCAUUGCGAGCAAGCAUGGUUCACAAUUCGACCAAAUCAAAUACAAAAAAUAGGAUUAAGAUGGAUUAAAGUAUAAAAUAAUAAGAUGCAAAUAUGUAACUAAUUGAUUGUACUUUUGGGCAAAUGACUCUUUGUAUCUUAGCUGACCGCAUCCAUAAUAUACCAGAUUGGAGACAAUCUUCUAAACCGUGGGCCAUUUCCCAAAACCAUGUGCCGGUGGCCAACGGGUGUUUCCCUCACGUUUCUCAGUUUUAUCCACGGCCGUUGCUCUUUACACCUCUCCGAUUCCUUGGAUUUAUUGUUUUUUUAUCCACCACUUGGACAAGACAGCAAAGCCCAGUAUCCACUGCCCCCACCCCUGAUCCCUGCUCUGCAACCGACACACGUGGCCCACAUGAUCGAGAUCCACGUCAACAUGAUCCAGACCAACAUCAAUGGGUUGACCCACAUCUGGCACAUGCAGCCCAAGUCCAACAAUUGAACGGCGCCAAGUUCACUGCGUGAGCACAUAGUUUCCAUCUUUAAUAAAAAUCCAUUUCAGUCUUGGAGAUAUCAUCAUUGAUAGUUUUUAAUCAUCCUUUUGCCGGUGAUAUUUUUUCGUAAUGGAAUCUGGGAUUCUUGGAGUUGAAGAAUCUUCCCGUUUUAAUUAAUGGGAAACAAAUAAAAAAUAGUAUCUUUUUGCCUUGGAUGACUAGGAAAGCCACUUGGAAAAAGUAAAUUAUAAUAUGAAAACCCAACAUAAAGAAUCAAUGUAUAGGCUGUCCUGUCCCUGCCGAUGUGCCUGAUUACGUUUCGAAGCCUGUUCGAAACGGUGACGUUUUGACACUUCCACCCACAAGUGGCUCUCCUUUCUCUUGAAACUUAGGUGUAUGUUGCUUUCAGUACACAGGAAUUUUGGGUCCAUCCCUGGUUUUGGACGCGGGAAGGAAGCUUGGACCCGGUUAUAUUUUUCAAUAUGAUCACCAUCCCAUAUUUAAUUAUUGGAAUGUUUACGUGUGCCUUCAAUACACCUUUAUUUUUAUUAUUUUUUUAUUUUUUUUAUUUUGAAAAAAAUAUAGAUUUCAUAAUAUUUUAUAUAAAAGUUAUUUUUUUUAUUUUAAUAUUUUAAUAAUUUUAAUUUUAUUUUCUAAUUUUAGAAAUUGAAAACCUUCACCAUCAAUAUCUGCUGUUAGGGAUGGGAAAUGAAAAUCCGAAUAUAACUUCGUCUCGUUCCUCUUGUUUCGAUUAUAUAUAAUAUUAAAAAAAUUGUUUUAAUUGAACUUUUUAUUUCUAACUUUUUAAUAUAUAUAAUAUUAUUUUUUAUAAAAAUAAAUUAUAAAUAUAUAUAAUAUUCAUUGAGUUAUAACAUAUUUUUUUAAUAAAAUUUAAUAUCGAAAAAUUGAAAAAAUAAAUUUAAUUAAAAGAGGAUAGGUGGAUAUGAGAAUUUCUAUACUAUGCUACCCAUUGCCAUUCUUAAUUGGUGUUGGUUAAUAAAAUAAAAUUAAAAAAAUAAAAGAAGGAAGAAGGUAGGUGGAGAUGGGGUGAGUAGUAAGGAGAAACCCAACAGGCCUCCAUUUUAGUUAGGGUAGAUGUCUUAAUUUGAGUACCAAAUUUAGAAACAUGGUGUUGAAUAAAAUCCAAUUAAUCAUAUGGGACGAAAAUAGUGGUCCCACAUCCAGUCAUCCAUGAGAUGGUUCACACUCAACCGUCCGAUGCAAUUUUUUAAAAAAAGUUUUUUUAUUUACUCAAAUUUCAUUAAUAAAUAUUUAUUUUUAACAUCUUAAAUUAGAAAUGUUGAUAUCAUUUUGCUGAAAGGAAGUAAUUAUUUUGAAUUAAUUUUCCUUGACAUUUAAUUUAAUAAUAUAAAUAUUAAAAUAAUAUGUUUUAAAAUUUUAAUUAGUUACUUUAAAAAAUAAAAAUGAAAUAAGAUAAUAAAAAAAAAUUAAAUUAUUUUUCCUUUUUCUUUUCUCAUAAUAUUUUCUUUUUAAAAUGCUUUAUUGGACGAACGUUAUAUAAAAGCUUUCAGCAAAAACAUUAACCUCAAUUUUAUUAAAUAUAUAUAUAUAUAUAAUCUUUAAAAUUGUUGUUUAUUAAAAAUUACGUUGGAUUCAGAAGCCACCAACUCCGGCCACUAGGCUGAGAUGAGGCGGAUGAGGGCCCCACAAAGCCAAUACGUCUCAAUCCGACGCACAAGAAUCAUCGCCCCUCACGCGGGACCCACGACCCACCCCACAUGACCUUCCCGUCCUCUACAGAAUUAAAUAAUUAAAAUUACCAUUAAAAAAUUCAGGGAAAUCAUAUAAUUACGAUAAUGCCCCGCCGCAUUUUCUUUAUAUUGACACCCCCUUCCUCGUUUCCUCUUCCAUUUUCCAGCCUUUAACUUUCUGAUACAGAGCAGAGUAAAAUGUUGGGUGUUUUCAGCAGCUCCAUCAUGUCGCCUCCAGACGAGCUGGUGGCCGCCGGCUGCCGGACUCCGUCUCCCAAGAUCACGGCGGAGGCGCUGAUGAACCGGUUCAUCCAGGGAAACCCCUCCGCCGUUUCCGUACAUGUCGGAGACCACGUUCAGCUUGCGUACACUCACCACAACGAGUCCCCUUUGCUGCCCAGGUAAAAACACACACAAACCACCAACUCCACGACCUCCUUCUGCAUCUUUUUCUCACCACAUAUCAGUCGUUACUAAAAUUUCGUUUCAGAAAUGAUUCCUGAUUUUUUUCGACGCCGUCAAAUGCCAUCCACCGCCCGAUGAGAUGGCGGAUCUGCUCAUCGGACGGUGGGGAACAUUCAAUCGUUUCCCAGGUCCCCCCUCCCUCCUCCGUAGACCACAUGAAUGAUUUCUCCGUUUGGUUUCGGAGAAAAAGAGGUUCAAAAGAGGCCUUGUUGUAUAAGCAUACCCAUUCCAGCACCCUCACACAGUGUUAAGAUUCUAUUUUCCCAGAAACCAAACGGGAUCACUGAUCAGACCUUUCACUCGUCUUGAACACGAAAGUGAGAAAGCUUCAUCCUUCAUUUCCUGCAAUUGAGAUUGGACGGUGAUGAUCUCAUAAUCAUCGUGAAUUCUGCGGCAAUGAUUAAAACUCAUCGGCCAGAGUUUUGGCGUUGAGGGUCCCACCUGCAUCCAUGCAUGCAUGUGUGACACGUAAGACAAGAGCUGUGACCUCCCAGGUCAUCCGUGGGCUUUCAACCACACGCGUGGCAUAGAGCCCAGAACUGAAGCAAACAACUGGUCUCCUGGUCAACUUUCUGGUUUUGCGUUUCAAUAAUUCAAUCUUUCAUUCGCUCACAUUUUUUCAUGCUUCUAGGCACAUGUAUUGCAGCACCCAAAAAAAAAAAAAAAUCUUUUUAAAAUAUUUUUAUUUUUAAAAAAAUAAUAACAUAUUCAUAAAAUAAUAAAAAAAACCCUUUAGAAAUGCUAACUUUUUACAUCAUCAAGACAAAAGUGGAAAAUCUUAUACCAAAAAAAAAAACGUUAUUUAAAUUAAAAUUAUCUUCCAAAAAAAAAACCCCUUAUUUUAGAUAGGAAAUAUAGAUUUAUUUAUUUUUUUUAAUUUUCUAGUUCGAUUAUUUGGUGUGAGAUGGUUGGUCCCCGGUUGCAAGGGUGUGACAUAAUCGGCGUAUUAGAUGAUUUAAGGACACGUAACUUGUCGUUUUCUAGAGGUAUAAGCGGCGUAAGCCAUGGGGCCCAACCUACUAUUUAGAUUUAUUCUGAAAUUUCUUAUAGUAUAAUUGCAAUUGUCAAUUUUUGAAGUGAUAUAAUAUAAUAAUAUAAUAAUAUAACAUUGAUAUGAUGGGAAAAUUUAAAGGCAUGGUAUAGAUGAUGAAAGAUUUAGAAAUAUGAAGACUACAUAGGACUAGAAAAAUGAAUACAAUUAAUAAUGAUGAAGCAGAUAAAGCAAUGGCAUCAUCUUCAUCUUCCCAGCGAGGGGAUGAGAAUCCAGGACGGUGUGGGCUCCAUUUGGGUUGAACAAAGGAAGAAAGAACGGAGGAGGUCAUGGAACUAGUGACCCUCACGCUUGGACUUUGGGAUUUUUGCUUUUAUGACAAUGACCUAAUUUUCCUUUGUAGUGGGUGGCCCGAUCAAUGGUAUGGUGACUACGCUUUAUCCUGAACCGAGGGGAUGGGCACCGGCUAAGGAUAACGUCCCUGUCUCACCUGUGGGACCUCGACCAUUAUCAAAACCCAAAGCCCAUAUGGUCCCCCAACUUAUCCUCUUUCCCCCACGAAAGUCUUUAUAUAAUAUAUUUAUAAUGAAUUUCGUGAUUUUUAUUUUUAUUUUUAUGAAAAAUAAAUUUGUCAUGCAGGUCAUUUGCGGUGAAGGAUGAGAUAUUUAGCUUGUUUGAAGGGGCACUGGACAACCUGGGGAGCCUGAGGCAGCAAUAUGGGCUAGCCAAGUCAGCAAACGAGGUGGUUCUGGUGAUAGAAGCGUAUAAGGCACUGCGUGACAGGGCGCCUUACCCUCCAAACCAUGUCGUGGGACAUCUCAGUGGAAGCUUUGCUUUCAUCGUCUUCGACAAGUCCACUUCCACCUUGUUUGUUGCUUCUGUAAGUCCCUCCCUCUCACCCACCCCCACCCACCAAUAUAAGAUGGGGUGUGUCCAGUUUUCAAUUUCGUGUUCUCUGAUGUGAGUUGGGGGUUGGUUGGAAUUGUGAUAGGACCAAUUUGGGAAGGUGCCUCUGUCUUGGGGAAUCACUGCUGAUGGGUAUGUGGCCUUUGCUGAUGACGCUGAAUUGCUCAAAGGCGCUUGUGGCAAGUCACUGGCCU